RNAcentral lists this long non-coding RNA (61302 nucleotides) under Manihot esculenta (cassava). RNAcentral describes it as "long non-coding RNA (MESC_LNC002091)". Lineage: Eukaryota; Viridiplantae; Streptophyta; Magnoliopsida; Malpighiales; Euphorbiaceae. The record is from RNAcentral.
UUCUUGUAGAAUAAUUCUGGAGCCAUAUAUCCUUCUGUUCCCCCUUUGACGGUAAGAGAUGCAAUGCUCCCCUUGGUUGGAUAAAAUUUUGCCAGCCCAAAAUCAGAAAUCUUUGGAAUGAAAUUUUCAUCUAGUAGAAUGUUGUCAGGUUUGAUAUCGAAAUGAAGGAUUUGCAUAUCACACCCUCGAUGUAGAUAUUCAAUACCAUAAGCCACUCCAAGAGAUAUCUCAAAUAAUUUUUCCCAACUUAUCGAAAUGGAUCCUUCAAGAUCAAUAUAUUUUCUAAGAGAUCCUUUAGACAUGAAUUCAUAUACGAGAGCUUGUUUUGAUGUCUCGGCACAAAAACCAAUUAGUUGAACCACAUUAACAUGAUGAAUCUUCCCGAGAGUAGCAACUUCAUUGAUAAAAUCUUGUACAUUAGCUUUAGAUUUAUCCAAUAUCUUUACUGCACUAAACUGGCCACUACGGAGCUUUCCUUUAUAUACAGAACCAAAGCCUCCUUCUCCUAACUUUUCUUUCAAACCUCCGGUGAUUUUCUUAAUUUGUGAGUAGGAAUAUCUUACCGGCAUAAGGUUAUUGUGACUCUGUAGGAAUUCUUCGAUUGUGUUAUAUUCUGACAUAUGUUUCCUUCGCCACUUGAAUAUAAGAAAAGCAAUUACACAUGGAAGUCCUAGUAAAGCUCUUACAAACCAAAAAAUUCCUGCAUGAAAUUUUGGAAAGCAUUGAAGAGAGACAAAUUCUUUAGUUGCUUUAAUUUGUUGGCAAAAAAAUGCAGGCGUUACUUAGCUAUUUUUGAAAGAAAGUAGUUCUUGUUUCUUACCAAUAUCAGUGAAUAUCGUUGAGUACUCAGCUGCAGAAAAUGUACAGAAAAUUAAUGAGUGUUUAUAUUCUUAAAAAUAAAUAAAUAAUUAAUUAGUUAAGUUAAAUACAUAAUUUAGUCUCUACAUUUACAAAAAGUUAGUUAAUAACCUAAUCUUUUUAUUAUUAACUUUUAAUACAAUAGUAUAAUUAUUUAAUACAUAAAUUUUAUAAAAUAUAGCUAUUCAACUCUUAUACGCUUAAAUAGUUUACAUAUGCUUUUAUUACAUGCUUACAUGACUUACAUACGCCUUGAAUUUUUAAGAGAGAUAUUUUACGAAUUAAAUUUAAAGAUUAAAUAAUAUAAAAAUCAAUUAUCAAAAGUUAACAGAAAAAAAUCAUAGUGUUAAUUGAUUUUUUAAGUAAACUUUACGCGGUAAAUUAUAUAAUCUCCACUUAAUUACAAUUACAUGAAUGGGGAGAAAACUUACAUUCGAUUGUUUCGAUGAUCAAACUGAUUCCAUAUAUAAAUUCAUUGAAGAGUGUACAUAUACCUAUAUGAAAAUCAAUACAAAACUAUGAGUCAAUAGAAAAUAAUAAAAUAAUUACAAUGAAUCCAAUUAUGUGAUCGGCUAUGAAAAAUAAAUGAAUAUAAAUUAUGAGAUUAUAGCUACUUAUAAAAUUGGGAAAAAACUAUCCAUAAAUAUAAUAUUUAAAGAUAAAUAGUAAUUUAAUUUUUUUAAAAAAAACUAAUGGUAAAACUGAUUGAUAUAAGUAUAUGAGAGAAGUAAAAGUGAGAUAAGACUGUUUAUUUGGGAAAAAUAAUUUAUAUUUUAAAAAUAUUUUUUAAAAAUUAUUUUUUAAAUUUUAAUUUUUUUAAAAAAAUAUAUUGACACGUCUAUGUAUAAAAUUGUUAACAAAACUUUUAAAAUGCAGAAAUAUUUUUUUUUUAAAGAGAAAUUUCUUUUGAAUACUCAAAUGCUAGAAAAUUUUAAAAAUGUAAAAAUUAUUUUUCUAAAAAGAUAUUUUGUUGUGCAAAAUAUAUAGACUAAAUUAUUAUUAGUAAUAAAUUAUAGGGACUAAAUAUUAGAUUUUUUAAAUAGUAACCACUUACCACUGAUGCGGUUAUCAACGUCCAGGAAGAUUACCGAGCUGUUGCUGUGCCAGUAAAGCUGAAACCCGAAAGCAAGUCGCCUGUGAAUUUCAACGCAGGAUAUAUUAUUCUUGUUUUCCAAGCCCAAUUCAUGUGGAAUCAAAGAUAUCAUCUCCAAGCUGCACAAAUCCAUCAAAUCAGAUAUCCAAUUCGAUUCAUCUAUAAUCAUCGCAUAAGUAUGCAUCUUCAAGGCAGAUCCUCCAUUGAUGCAAGCAGAAUAGUCCAAGUAAGAUGGAGAGUGAACUGGACUUGGGCACUUGAUGAAACAAAUCAUACGCGUUAAAUCGGAAACCAAGUAUCCAUGAUUUCCCAAAAUUAAGUUGUCGAAAGUAAAAGGAAAACGAGGAAUGGAGGAACAAUCAUAUUGAUUGACGCCGGCAUCCACCAGUCGGAUAGUGAAGUUAUCGUAGUUGAUGGCCUGAACAUAGUAUUUUCCUCCGAAUAGACUCAACACUGUCAGAUUAUUUUCACAAGCAAGCUCAUAAUUGUGGUCUCCGCAAUUUUUUGGAUCAGUAUGUAAUCGAAAAGGGUAACUAAUGUUAUGGAUAUUUCCACAUGAAGAAGCUGCACACUGAUCAUUUAUUUCUGUAGAAUUGCAGGUUGUUUGGGAGAUAAGCAGGAAAAGAAAGAUAAGACUUUCUAUGAUCAUGGGAGAGCAGAGAGAUGGAUACACCAUGUGUUUGUUUUCCUGCUUCAGAGAAAGAGAAAUAUUUCUGUUCUCAAUUGGCUUCCCAUACAUGGACCAAGCAAGAAGGUGUAGUGGGCAUUUAAAAAAAAAAGAUUAUUUAUUUCAAAAAUUGUAUACUACGCUCUGUACAUACUCUCUAAUAAUUAAGGCUCAAAUAUUUACAAUAAAUGUAAAGAAAAAGAAAAAAAGUUUUUUUUUUUUUAAAUAANNNNNNNNNAAAAAAAAAAAAAAAAAAAAAAUAAAUAAACAAUACAUGAUGGUUCCACUAAGUUGGUUUGUAGUGUAUAUUGUAAAGAGAGAGUGAGAAGAAGAAUUUAGAAAGCAAUGAUGAGUAAUUCAAAUGAAAUGGUGGUAUGCUUGUUCCUCUUGCCGUCCAUUUUAUUCCUAGCACAGCAUGGAGCAGGCCUUGAUCAUCAGUGCAGUACAUCGACAUGUGGGAUACAAGGCCCACCUGUCCGAUUUCCGUUCCGAAUCAAAGGGAGACAACCACCCCACUGUAGCUAUCCUGAAGUUGGGUUUGAUCUGCGGUGCUCGGAGAAGAACCAUACAGUUAUGGAGUUGCCAAAUUCAUGGAAGCUCUUGGUGCAAACAAUUGAUUACAAGUCUCAAGUGAUUUAUGCAAGUGAUUUUGAUAGAGUUUGUCUUCCAAAACGGCUUCUUCUUAGUUCCAAUCUCUCUGAUAUUUAUCCUUUCAGGUUGAUGGAUUACAUUUUUAGUUUUACCUUAUUUAAUUGUUCUUCAAAGAAAGGACAUUCGCUCCAGCCAAUCACUUGCCUAAGUAGUCUUCAUCAUUAUGUUUAUGCCAUUACUUCGCAAUCUUCUAUUCAAGACUUAGUGCUGCUGCUGUCUUGCUCCAAGCUACAAAACAUUUCAGUGGCUUCAGAAUAUAGUCUCUAUUCUCAGGAAAAUGUUCUUCAAUUCAGUUGGUACUAUCCGGAAUGUAGUUAUUGUGAAGAAAAAGGCAAGUACUGCAGAUUGAAGGGAUCUGAAACUGAAUGCUACGGCAUCAUCAAACCAGCUAAAGGUACGUUGUUUUCUGUUCAUCUAUCUCUUAAUACUCAUCCAACCUUUGGAUCCAUGUAGUGCCAAAACUGAAAAAGCUCUGUUCUUUUUGCAGGGUCAGCAACAAAGUUCAUAACAACAGGUUGCGUAUAUUGUAUUUUGAAUUUUGUAUUUAUUUCUAUGAUUAUGUGGAAGAUGGGUGUUGUUAUCUAGGGAUGUUUUAUACAUACAGGUGCAGUUCUGGGUUCAAUUUUUCUUGUAGUAGCAGCGAUUCUACUCUACCGCAGGUAUAGGUUCAAUAGAACAGAAAGAGAAUAUCAGUCCAAGAUUGAAAAAUUUUUGGAGGACUACAAAGCUUUUAAGCCUACUAGAUAUUCCUAUGCCGACAUUAAGAGGAUGACGAACAAGUUCNNNNNNNNNNNNNNNNNNNNNNNNNNNNNNNNNNNNNNNNNNNNNNNNNNNNNNNNNNNNNNNNNNNNNNNNNNNNNNNNNNNNNNNNNNNNNNNNNNNNNNNNNNNNNNNNNNNNNNNNNNNNNNNNNNNNNNNNNNNNNNNNNNNNNNNNNNNNNNNNNNNNNNNNNNNNNNNNNNNNNNNNNNNNNNNNNNNNNNNNNNNNNNNNNNNNNNNNNNNNNNNNNNNNNNNNNNNNNNNNNNNNNNNNNNNNNNNNNNNNNNNNNNNNNNNNNNNNNNNNNNNNNNNNNNNNNNNNNNNNNNNNNNNNNNNNNNNNNNNNNNNNNNNNNNNNNNNNNNNNNNNNNNNNNNNNNNNNNNNNNNNNNNNNNNNNNNNNNNNNNNNNNNNNNNNNNNNNNNNNNNNNNNNNNNNNNNNNNNNNNNNNNNNNNNNNNNNNNNNNNNNNNNNNNNNNNNNNNNNNNNNNNNNNNNNNNNNNNNNNNNNNNNNNNNNNNNNNNNNNNNNNNNNNNNNNNNNNNNNNNNNNNNNNNNNNNNNNNNNNNNNNNNNNNNNNNNNNNNNNNNNNNNNNNNNNNNNNNNNNNNNNNNNNNNNNNNNNNNNNNNUGAGGAAAACGAUGAGCAAAUAUACUUCCCAAAAUGGAUUUAUAAUCUUUUGGAAAGAGGAGAAGACCUCAGAUUUGAGAUUGAGGAAGAGGGAGAUACUAAAAUUGCAAAGAAACUUGCAAUUGUGGGACUGCAAUGCAUUCAGUGGAACCCAGCAGAUCGACCCUCCAUGAAUGUUGUAGUUCGUAUAUUGGAAGGGGACGGAGAUAAUCUACCAAUACCUCCUAAUCCUUUUUGGUCUGCAGUUCCUGCAAGAAUGAAUUCAAAAAAAUCUCAAAGACGGCUUCAUCAAGAAUUGGAUGUCAUAUCAGAAACGGAGUAAUUAGAAAUCAAUGUGAUCUAUAAUUUGUUAAAAUGUCUUAACUUUUUAACAAUAUAUUAGUUAGUUAUUCCAUUAAUUUUAGACAUCAAAUGUUUUACUAUUUAAUUUUUGUAAUUUUAAAUAUUAAAUAUUUUAUUAUUUAAUAUUUAUAAUUUAGAAAAAUUAAUUAAUUAGUGCCUCAUAUUUAUAAAAAAUCUAUUAAUUAAUCAUUCUGUUUGGAGGACAUUUUAAAUAUUUUUAUAGUAUUUAAUAAUUAAAAUUAAUUGAUGGACCAAUUAAUAAAUUUUUUAAAAUAACAUGAAUAUUUUAAUAUAUUUUUUAAAAUAGAAAAACUAAUAUUAUAAAUAUUAUAUUAAUUCAUAAUAUGAGAGCUAAAUAAUGCAUUUAUCUAAAUAAUGAUGUAUUCAAUACUUGUUUUUGAUUUAGUAAUUUAUGAGCAAUAAUUGUAAGUAAUUAUGUUAUCAUCAUAAAAAUCUUUAUAAAUUUCUUUGUUAUUGCAAUUGAAUAGUGACAUAGGGCUAAUUAGUAACACAAAAUUUAUAUCGAUAAUUAUUUAUUGCAAAUGAUGUAUAAAUAAAACUAAUUAAAAAGGACAAAGGGGUUAUGUGCUCAAUUAUUUAUUCUCCAAUAAGGGAAUUAUGUAUUAAAAAAAAAAAAGUUCAUCAUAAAAGACAAGGGUUAUGUGUCCCUAACAAUAAUGGUGAAUAAAUAAUUAAAAUAAAAUCUUGAUUGUUAACUUAGAAGAUGCCAUGGGAAAUCAUUCUACAUUCAGUGCUGAACAAAGUAAAAGUUAGAUUAAAAAAUUUGUUAGUGCAAUUCAGCAGGUAUCAAUAAUUUAUAAAUUAUUUAGGGCUUACCCUUUCUUUUCACUAUAAAAGAUAUAGGCAGAUAAGGAUCUAAUUCUUUAUAUCAUGUUAUUAUUAUCAUUUAAAGUUAAGAGCAACUGAUUUGCUAUAUAAUAGAAAGUAUUAUUUCAUAGAAGUGAAUAUUUCAAAAUAAAUAAAUAAAUAAAAAUUUAAACUUCAAAUUUCAUAUAUUUUUUUACAUUUUAAAGUGAGAAAAAACAACUCAUAAUAAUAAAAUUAUUAUUUUUUUUAUUAUCUUUAUUUUAAUUUUAAUAAUUCAUUAUCCCUGUUAUUUAACACUAACAAUAGCUUUCCAGCAGUUAUUAUAUAGGGAAUUAGAGGAAUUCAACCUAAAAUAUUUUAGGUUUACUUUAGUGAGAGCUUUACCUUAAUGGGUUCUUAAAGUAAAGCAAAUGCACAAUAAUUGAAGCUAAGGCUUUAAUAAAGCAUUGAAGAAAGUAGAUAUAUAAUUAUUAUCUAAGAAAUCAAUUAAAGAUAGAAUCGAAUGUAUCAUUUGAAUAAGUUGCUUUAAGAAAAAUAUUAAAUUAAAUUAAAUAAAUAAUUUAAAUUGUAAAGAGACAUUGUUCCUUCAUCCUUUGAGUAAAAUUAAUAUCAUUAUAAAUAAUUGUUGCAAAAUUAAUUUUAUUUCUAAUAAAAUUGAAGCAUAUACCAUUCAAUUAGAAAUUGCAAAAGGGUAUUGUAAAGUUCCAAAAAAUUUACAUUUCCAUGUACUUUAGUUUGAGAAAUUUAAUUUAGAUUAUUAACGUCUUAGUAUUUAUUUUAAUUAUUUAAAAAAAUUACUUUUAUCUUCAUGAGAUAUAUCAAAGUUAAUACAUAUCUCCAUUUAUUUUUAAAAUUCAAUAAUUUAAUCUCUACUGUAUAAGACUGUAAUUGAAAAUCUCCCCAUAUUAUAUAUAUAUUUUUUUCAAUUUGAUAAAGUUAAAAAAUAAAAAUUCAAUGAUUAAAUACUAUUAUUGUGAGAAAUUCAGCUUGGUCGAACAAGUCUAUAAUAAGUGGAAUUGGGUUUAAAAUUAUGUUAUUUUUUAUUAUUUAAAUUAAUUUAAGAGUUUUCUUAAUUCUACUUGUAUUUAACUUCACUUAAUUAAAAUUUUAUUUUACAAUUAAAAUAAAAUUUUAUUUCAAUGUGAAAAUAAAAUUUAUAAUUUUAAAACAUAUAAUUUAUGCUUUAAAUCAAGAAAUUUAAAUUUUUAUGAUUACAUUUUUUAAUAUAUUAAUUUAAUAAAAUAUAGUUUCAUCUAUGCUGAAAAUUUUAUUUGUGUUGUAUAUACAUUUUCUAUAUUUAAAAUUGAAAAUUUUAAAAAUAAAAAUGAUUUAACGCUUUUAAAUAAUAUUUAAUAUAGUAAACUUUAAUAUUUAUAAAUUGCUAAAUAUGCCGAUUAUAUAAUUAUAAUCGUUUAUAAAAAUUAAGUAUUUAAAUAAAUAAAUAAAAAUUAUAUAACUCUAAUAUUAAAGUAUUAAAAAAUCAAUGUUGUAAAACUCAUAAUUAAGUUUUAUCCACUUAUUUAUUUAACUUUAAUAUCAACAUGCCACCAUGAGUUACUAGAAAAUCUAUUUGGAACUAAUUUCAAUUUGUUUGUAGCGUCUCUUUAAAGAAUUUUCCUAGCUAGAACUCAUUGAUGCAAUAAGUUUCUAAAAAAUUUCUUAAAUUAAUUUUAGAGGUUAGUUUCUAAAAUUAACAAUUAUAUAUAUGAAAUUUAAAAUUUCAAUUCAAGUUUCAUUUUCUCUUCCAUAAACGGUCAAUUAUAAGAGCCUAAAAUUUAUUCUAGAGUUACUUUAUUAUUUCAAAUAGUAUGUUUAAUUAAUAUUCAGCCUUGCUCAAAAUUACAAAUUCUAUAUUUCGAUUAGAACAGAAUUCAAUGUUUGUGGGUAAAUAUAUUUCUGGACAUGCAUUCUAAUACUUUAGUCUGGAUGUUUUAAUUAUUAAAUUAACAUAAGUGAUCCUUGAAAAAGGGAUCAGAUAUUUAUUACAUCGAAAAACUUUGAAAAAAAAUUAUUUGUGAGAAAUCUAUUAUUAAGUAUUAUUAGUUAGAUUCAAUGAUUGGAUUCUUUUGAAAUACAAUAAUAAACAUUCAAAUAAUAAGUUAUUUAUUGAUAAAUAUUAUUAAAUUUACAAUAUAUGUUAUUUUCACAUAUAUUUUAUACAAAUUUUAUUGUGCAAAUGAAUUUAAAAGUAAGAGGUAUAAAAAUAUACUUAUCAAAGAAGGAACAAGAUUAAGGCUAUACAUAGAGAAAACUAUGAUGCAAGAUAGCCUAUGGGUAUAAAUUUAUAUCAUCUAAUUACCAUUCAACAAGGCUCCGUGCAGGAAAAACUAUAUGUAAGAUAGUCUAUGAGCAUAAAUCUAUAUUGUAUAAUUAGCGCUCAAUAAGACUAUGCACAAAAAAAAAAAAAAAAAAAGAAACGAUGCAAGAUAAUCUCUAGGCAUAAAUCUACAUUAUCUAGUCAGUGCUUGAUAACAAGACUAAGGUCUCGCAUAGAAAAAACUAUGAUGCAAGAUAGUCCACAGGCGUAAACGUAUAGCCUAGUUAGUGCUCAACAAGGCUCAAUACAAAAACACUAUGAUGCAAGAUAAUCUGCGGAUAUAAAUCUAUAUCAUUUAGUUAGUGCUCGACAAUAGAGCUAAGAUUUGUGCAGAAAACUACGAUGCAAGAUAGCCUAUAGGCAUAAUAAAUCUACCUCGUCUAGUUAAUACUCAACAAGUCUCCAGUACAAAAAAAAAAACUACAGUGCAAGAUGACCUAUGGGCAUAAAUCUGCAUUGUGUAGCUUGUGGACAACCUCANNNNNNNNNNNNAAAAAAAAAAAAAAAAAGAAAUAAGACUAACUACUUCAAGUCAUUACAUAAAAAUUCAUGCUUGAAUUAGGGAGUAUCAUCAUCAUAUGGCUCAAUAAAACAUAAAACUAACAGGUCUAAAAGAGCAUAAUGGAAGAGCUCAAUAUUAUAGGGAAGACCAUUAAGUCUUACAAAAAUGAAAUAGAAGGUCUAGGGUCUAAAAGAGUCUAAUGUAAUGGCUCAAAUUAAAAAAAAAAGAAAAGGAUAAAUUACACUUAAGUUUUUGAAUUUUAGUAUAAUUAAUUGAUCAGUCCCUAUAUUUUUAAAACCGAACACUUAAAUCCCUGAGUUUUCAAUUUAUCAACCUUAAAGUCCUUCCGUCCAUAAUUUUGUCAACUCUCUAUUAAUUGAAUAUGAAAUGACGAAAAUACUAUUUUAUUUUCUUCUUCCUUAUUCUGUUACCAUCAGCAAUGAUCACUUCAUCAUUCUAAAACCAACAAUAUCAGUAAUAGUGAUUAAAAUCUAAACUCACAUCCACCUAAAUAAUUCUUUAUUUUCACCUGCAUAAACUAUGUUAACCUCUUGCAACCACACAAACUCACAUAGCCACUACAUCAUCAAAUCUCACAACAGCCCUCUACUAUCUACUCCGAGAGCGAUUUGAGAACCACAAUUAUGGGAAAAAUAUGAGAGAUUUAAGCAAGAUUGCAAUCACCAUCCAAUGAUAGAGACCAAUAACUGAGCAAAAAAAAAUAAAGAAAAUGAACAUCCAAACUGCUUCCCUGCCAUGCCCACACAUUAAGGAAGCCAAUUCACAAUCCACAAUCCUUUAUGCAACAACUUACCAUUGGCAAAUUAAAAGAGUGAGGAUUUCAUUGAUUGGUCCAGCAAAGAUGUUUCUAUAGACUCCAUGGAAGGGUAAGAUUGAUAAUUUGUGAAAUUUGAUGGGUGAAGGAGGACAAGUUGCGCAUGGAGAGUUAUAGAGAUGAAGAGAUUGUGAUUAAAAUUUUUGGCAUCAAGGAGGAAAAGUCGCUUCACUUCCUUUUCUAAAAGUGAGAGUUUGUGAUUAAAAAAUUAAGCUUCCAUUGUUGGUAGUAGGUGAGCAUCACAAGACUAGAAGAAUAAUUAUGCAGAGAGAGGAGAUAACAAGGGAAAAAGAGAGAGGUGAGAGAUGGAUUUAGGGUAACUAUGGGAAGAAAAAAUGCAUUUUAUGGUGUAAUAAGAGUAUUGUGGGAACAAAAAAUAAUGUUCAAAGAUUUGACCAACCAUUUACCUUUGAACUAAUGGAGAAAUGGAUGAAGGGACUGUGCAUUUAGACAAAAUAAUAAUAAAGGAAUUUAAGUACUCGAUUUUAAAAAUAUAGGGAUUGAUUCGUUAAUUAUAGGAUAACUUAGGGACUAAAGUGUAAUUAAUCCUAAAAAGGGAAAAGAAAAAGAAUAGAAGACCUCAAAGUUGAAGGUCUCAAGAAGAAAUGCCCUAAAGAAUGUCUUAGAAAGGGAAAACCACUAACUAUAAAUGGCAGACCACUAAGGUCAGACCAAAAUGGUAAAGCAUUAACUUGGAAGUCUAGAAUGGUAGACCACUAACUCGAAAGGGCAGAACAUUAAGGUUAGGUCCAAAAGGCAGGCUAGAAGGGCAAGUCAAGUCGGAAGGGUAGAAAGCUAAGUGUAUGUUGCAAGGGUACACCACUAAGGUCAGAUUGGAAGGGCGGACUACUAAUGUCAUAUAGGAAGGAAAGACCACUGAGGUCAGCUCCCAAGGUAAGGCCUCCUAAGAAAGGCCUUCUAAAUGAAAGACCACCAAUGUAAGACCUCCAAAAGUAAGACCUUUUGAAGGGAAGACCACUAAAAAUAAGAACUUCCAAAUGUAAGACCUCUCAAGAUAAGACCUCCUAAGGUAAGGUCUUCUAAAUGGAAGACCGCAAAGGUAAAACCUUCCUAAGAUAAGACCUCCUAAGAUGAGGUCUUUCAAAAGAAAGACUUCCAAGAUAAACCCUUUAAAUUUAAGAAAUCUAAAAGUAAGACCUUCAAAAAUAAGGGCAAAAUAAUUCACUGGAAUUCUCACUUUUUAUAAGUAUAGAGUCUACUUCCUUAGUCCGAUCUAUAUUUAAUCGUCUAAUUCAACUGAUUGAAUUAGAGAGUGGAGGCAUCUAAUAACAUAUAAAGAUUAUAAAAUUAUUUUAAUUAAGAAAUGGACCCUGCCUAAGAAUAUGUUAUAGAGUAUUCUUGCACUUCUCCAAAAAGAGUACUUGAUAAGAUAAGAGAGAGGCACCUCUUUCUUUUAGCAAAGACCUUGAAAAAGGCUCCUCCUCUCUUCUUCUUCUCUGUUCGUCUUUUCUUUUCCCUUCUCUUCCUUGCAUCUUCUACUAUGAAAAUUUUGACUCUGAAUUUUCAGAUCUGACUUGAGAGUUUUCACCGAGGAUUCCCAGUAGACUCCUAAUCUUUUUUUCUCUAUUUUGUAGACCCCAAUUUCAAGAUCACGUGUUUUGGGACCCAUUUAAGAAAAUAAGAGAAAAAAUCAUCAUCAAGAAUAGAAAGACUUGUUUUACCUUUUUCAAAAUGCGUGCAUGAUUUCUUUAGUAAUAAUAAUAUUAUUGGUAAUGUUUCUACCUAGAGCAAAAUUAUUUUAAUUCUCAUCUAUAACACAAGGAAAAAUUCUUUUAUGUCUGUUAGCCAAAACCUUUAUCAAUAUUUUGUACAUCACACUACACUAUAAAUAAAAAAUCUACAAUUCUAGUAGGAUUGCUCACUUUGGGAAUUAGAGUUAGUAGAGUACCAAAUAUGUGCUAACAUCACCUUGAAUAUCAGAUUUAGUGAAGACUAAAUUAUAAAUUUUAACUAUGUCGUUGCUAGUUAAGCCUUCUUAUUAGGCAUUGCUACUUAUGUCCAAAACAACGAUAAGGUAAUACGCUUUGAUCAUUCAAUUUAUUGGAUGCUUUGGAACUCUAUAUUACGAUAUGUGUUUAUCUUAAUUUUUUAUGCAUAAUUUUAGAAUUAUGAAAUUUUCAUAUUCAAAUUUGUAUUAUAUCAAAUGCUAUAAAAAAAAACUUAUAUAAUCAGCCCUUAAAAAUUAAAUUAUAUACAAAAUGUUUAAAUACAUUUUUAUAUCUCUAAACUUCAUUUGGAAAAAAAAAAUCUUCAUAGUAUAUUAAAAUGUAAAAGUGUUAUAUAUAGUAACCUAAUAUAAAUUGGUUCAGUAUUAGUAGACCCAGAUUUGAACCUCAAUCUCCUAAUAAAAAAGUUAUACACAAUAUAAAAAUUUUGUAAUAAAAACUUUAUAAAUUCUGUACAUUCAAAAAAACUUCUCCUGGAUUCAAAGUGAUCUAAGAAUAUUUUAGAAAAUUCACAUUACUUGGUAAUAGGAUCAAAAGAUUAAUUCCACUUUUAGAUAGUUCAAAUAUGUUUUAAAACAUGUUUAAAGUUCAAAAUGAUACAAUUUGUUUUAACAAAGUUUAAAGGUGCAAAAAUAUAUGCCAUUUAUAUAAAGUUAUAUUAAUUUUUAUUAAAAAAUUAUAUUAUAUAUAAAAAAAAUAUCUGCUAUUUCAAAUUUAUAUUAUUUGUUCCUCCAAAAUACAUCAAAUUAAUAUUUUUUAAAAAAUUUUAGUAUUUGGUUAAUCUCUCAGUUUAAAAUUAUAUUAAAACAUUUAUGAAAUUUUAAAAAAUUUAUUAAUUAGUCAUUUUAUAAGUUUUAGUUACUAACAUUUUACUAUUCUUAGUAUCUAUGAUUUAAAAAAAUUUAUUAUUUAGUCUCUCAAUUUUGUAAAAAGUCUAUUAUUAAUUCUAUGUAUUGAUGGUAUUUUAAUUUUUUUUAAAUACUUAAUAAUUAAAAUUAAUAAAAAGAUUAAUUAGUAGAUUUUUUAAAAUAUUAAAUGUGUAUUUUAAUAUAUUUUUAAAAAUUAAAAAAAUUAAUUUUUCUAUACUAAAAUUUAAAUAGUAAUUUUUUCUUUAAAAAACAAAUCACGAGCUAUUUGCAUAUUAAUCAACUUAAAAAAUUAUAUCAAUUGUAAUUAAAAAAUUUUAUCAGCUCCUAUUAAAGAUCAUCAUGUUGCGUAUUAACAAACUUCAAUAUAUAUAUAAUUUAAAAAUUAUAAAUAAUUUAUUUAUCAAUUUGUUUCAUAAUUUCAUAUUAAAUAGUUUACAUAUUUAUAUUAUUAUGGAGGAAAAAAUAUAUUAAAAAUUUCAAAUGCAAUUUUAUGAGAAAUGCUAUUAAAUUAUGGAGGAAAAUGAAAAAAAAAAUUCUUUAAUUUUAUCGAUUUUUCAUUUCAAGAUAUUUGUACUUUAAUUUUUAUAUUUCGAUAUCAUAUUAUUAGUAAAUAAUGACGAUUUUCAAAUGUCAUAAGAAAAUAUUGAUGAGACAAGCAAAUAAUGAAGUACUAUUUAGAUAAAAUUAGACUAUAAAAGCUAAAAUAAAAAUAAGUAAAAUUUUACAUUAUUUUAGCACUUCUUAAAAAUUAUUAAACAAAUAUUAAUUUACGAUUAUAUUUUGCUUCCCACUUUAUUAAUUUUUAACUAUAUGAGAAAAUUGUGUUAUUUACUGACGACGACGGAUAUUAUCAGUGGCGAAAAAUAAAAAAUUUAACUUAGAAAAUCUAAUUUAACUUAAAAAAUUCAAUUUAAAUAAGUGAUUAGAGAAAAUAAAACAUAUGAAAUAAAUAUAUAUAGAAGAUUAUAAUCUUAUUGAUGGCAGUAAAUUAUAUUCUUAUCAUUUGCAAUAAGUAAGCAUUCUAACAGUUAUUCAUAUAUGUGUAUAUAUGUAUGUCUUUGAUUUUUGAAAUUUUAUCCACCUUUGAAAUUUUAGUGGCUAUAUAUUCUUCUUACGAACAAAACAUUAUUCAAAUUAAAUCUAAAUCUAAAUCGCAUAUCACUAAUAUAAAUAAUUAUAUAGUAAAAUAUUAACCAUUGUGUAUAUAAUAAUUAUAUACAAAAAUUUCUAAGAACAUAAAUAUAAUCGCUAUAGGUAUAACGAUCAAAUAUUAACCAAUAAUUUUGAUAGGACCUAUAAGGGAUCUACCAUGAUUAAGGACUUGGAUUACAGGUUAAGGAGCAAUAUCCACAAAGAAAAAUCAAACUCAACAAAUACCGAAGCAAAAUGCAAAUGCAUUAUUAUGCAUUAUUAUACAUUAAACCCAACAAGUUAAACAUAUAGAAUUAUUACAACAUAUCAUCAAGUCAUCACUAACUCUAUAGAGCAACUUAUAAAGGUAAAAGAAGUUUCAGAACAUUUUACCAUCUCUUUCAACCAAGCAAUAUUAUAUAUCUAUUUUACUUCACUUGACGUUGAUGAUGAUUCUCCUUCAUCUAUAGUCAUUGAUUCUACAGGAUAUAGAACAGGCCUUGGGGGCAAUUUUAGGCUUUUGAGAUCUCCUUCAAGCAUGUCUAGUACUUUGUUCAUUGAAGGACGAUUAGAAGGUUGCAUCUGUAUACACCAUAAUCCUGUUAUAAUCAUUUUCCUAGCUAAUAUAUUCUCCUCCUCUGAUGAGUCUUCUAUUAUUAACUUUCCACUUGAGAGUUGGUCAUAAACCCAGAAUGGAUAGUAAACUUGACUCAAAUUUUCUGCCAAUGCAUUUAGGUUUUUCCUUUUUCCUGCGAUUUCCAACAACAACAUUCCAAAACUGUAUACAUCUACUUUAUGUGAAACACGCCCAAUAUUUUUGUAGAACAACUCUGGUGCCAUGUAUCCAAUUGUUCCCCUUGCAGCUGUAAGAGAUGCAAUGCUUCCCUUAGUUGGAUAAAGCUUAGCUAACCCAAAAUCAGAAAUUUUUGGAGUGAAAUUUUCAUCAAGAAGAAUGUUAUGAGGCUUGAUAUCAAAAUGAAGGAUUUGCAUAUUGCAACCUUGAUGUAGAUACUCAAUGCCUCAUGCCACUCCAAGAGAUAUUUCAUAUAACUUUUCCCAAUUCAAAGAAAUAGGUCUUUCUUGACAAAAAAUAUAAUUAUCAAGAGACCCAUUAGACAUAAAUUCGUAUACAAGAGCAUGCUUUGAUCCCUCAACGCAAAAACCAAUUAAUUUUACUAUGUUGGUAUGGUGGAUCCUUCCAAUUGUAGCAACCUCAUUGAUAAAAUCUUGUCCAUUAGCUUUAGAUUUACCCAACAUCUUUAUUGCUGCAAAUUUACCACUACGAAGUUUUCCUUUAUGCACAAAACCAAAGCCUCCUUCACCCAACUUUUCCUUGAAACCUCUAGUGAUCUUUCGAAUGUCUGAAUAAGAAUACCUUAUUGGCAUAAGGUUAUUGUGACUCUGGAGGAAUUCUUCAAUUGUUUCAUACCCAGAUAGAUGCCUUCUUCUCCAUUUAUAAAUAAGAAAUGCAAUCACACAUGGAGCCCCACAGAAAGCUCUUGCAACCAAACACAUUGCUGGAUAUAAUUAUGGGAUCAUAUUCAACAAAGAGAAACUAAUUAAUUAGUUAUUGGUUUAAAAUUUUGUCUAAGAAAUAUAAGAGAUAUGCUUCUAAAAACGUAAGAUAAAGUUAGCUAAGUUUCAUAUGUUGCAGAUUUUCAUGGUGUCUCUUCAUAUAAAUAGGUAACUUUGUCCCCUCAUAGAUUAAUGGAAGGAGUUCUUACCAAGACAAAUAACUGUGUUUCCAAGUAACCCUGUAUGAAGUGAAUGUAGAGAAAUUUAAUUACUAAUGUUGCUGCCCUUAAAUCAAGUAACAAUUAUUUAAACAUGAUUACAUAUUAUAUGAUCGGAGACAGAGAUCUUACAUAGGAUCAUAUCCAAGAAGUUAUCGUUCCCUUCAUUAAUUAAGAGGAAAACAAAUCAGUAUCAUACAUAUAUCUUAUUGAUUGCAUCAGAUAUAUAAUCAUAGAAAUAUAAUAUUUAUUCAAAUGCAAUAUUGAGUAAUAACUACUUACUAACUCUUCUAGUUUCUUUCCAUGAACAUUUUGUGCGUAUAUAUAUAUAUAAAACAAUAUGAUAUCUGAAAAUUAUAUUAUUGAUUCAAUUAAUUUGAAUUCACGCUGAAUAUGCUCAUUAAAAAGAUAAAACACUUGGAUUUAAAAGUUUUCUGUAUGCAAGACUCAAACUCGAAAUUUUUUAUUGAUUUCAUUUCUCAAAAUUUUUUAUUGAGGAAAAAAAAUGAAAUGAGAUUUCAUUUCUAUUUUGUGUUUAAAGGAAAAAAAUGAUAGAAAUAUUCUAUCGAAUAAAUAUAGGUCUCUUGUACUAAAAAAAAUAAACAAAAUACUUGAAUUAAAAUUAUUAACAAAUAAAUAAAGACUUAAUUAGCCUGUAAUUGAAUUUACUUACACUUUAAAUUAAUUUUAUUAGAAUAAAGUUAAAAUAUUGAGAAGCUAUUGCCGACUCAGUCUAGUAUUGCUUAACCUGGAGGACAACAAUUCUACAAAUAGUUGGAAAGACAAGAAAAUUUUGUCAUCCUGUAACAAAAUAAUAAUAUUUGCAGCACCUAAAUUCCACACUAUGCAUUUAAAUUUUCAGUAUUAAUUAGAUUUUCAAAAUUUUAAGGUCAUCUUUAUUAGAAAAGAUAUUUUCCAGUGCUGAAUUUUUCUAAAGCUUCAAACAUAAUAAAAUAUGAAAAAUAUUUUAUAUUUUUGUAUUAUAGAUAUAAUUAGAAUGGCGGAGAAAGAAUAUAUUAUUAAGAAAAGGAAAAAGACUAUCAGAGUAAUUUAUUAAUCAAAUAAAUUUGUGUGUGAAAGUAAACAAUUAUUAAUGAUAAAAUGGAUGAAAGCAUUACUUACACCGGUACAUGCAUCGUAACCGUUUUCUGCUGUCCAGAUAGCAACCACCAUCACAUUGUCCACAGUGGAUGUUGUGCCAGGAAAGCUGAAACCCAAAUGCAAGUUGCCUGUGAAUUUCAAGAAACGACAUGUUCUUCUUUGCCGGAAAUAAUGGAAACAAACUAAGCAUCUCCACGCUGCACAACUCCAUCAAAUCGUUUGCCUUCAUGUCUCCUAUAUUUACAUAAGAUGAGUUAAGACAAGGAGCUGUUUCCACGUAAGGAGGAGACUUCACUGGAUUUUGACACUUUAUGAACAUAAUCUGCUGCGAUAAAUCCGCCCUUUUGUAUUCUUCUGAUUCUGACCAUCGGUAUAUAUAAGUGGAAUAACUUUUCGACAGAUCGUAUAUAAAUGGAAAACGAGGAAUGGAGGAGCAAUUGUCUGGAUGGACGCCGGCAUCCACUAGUCGGAUAGUGAAGUUAUCGUAAUCGAUGGACUGAACAUAGUAUCUUCCACCGUUAAGAUUUAACACCGUCAAAUUGUUUUGACAAGAAAGCUCAUAUCUAUGGUGUCCGCAAUUCUUAGGAUCAGUUUGUAAUCGAAAAGGGUAACUGAUGUUGUGAUUAUUCCCACAUGAAGCUGCACAGUGACUUGAAUCCCUUCCGUUGCAAGUUUGGGAGAUGAGCAUGAAAACAAAGAUUACAAUUUCUCCAAUCAUGGAAUCAAGGUAGACAGAGAAUGACAGUGUCUGUGUUGAUUUUUCAUGAAAAAUUCAUCAGGCGGCUAUAGCCUAUUGCCAUUAAUCUAUUGUUGGUAGACACACAGACACAGUGCCAUUCACUUGCAAAAUGGUCCCUUUUUGACAUUUCAAACACUUGCAAGAAGUCAUCAAUAAGCUUAUCACCAUCACUGCUGUCUACAUCUUAGCCAGUCCAUGGCCUACGGCUUCUGCUUCGCUGUCUCCGUCUUUGCGACUUUGACGAUCCUAUUCCUAGUCUUUCAGUAUUUCUUCCAAGAGGAUCACAAGCUAAGCCUAAUAUUUCAUUGUUCCUUGUUACGAAAAGAUUAAAGGUUAAUUAUUAGGGUGUGACUCGAAAGUUUUAGUGUGUAUGUGUUUUUUCCUUUUUCAAUUUAAAUAUAAUUUAAGUGAAUUUUAUAAAAUAAUUAUAUAAAUAAUUUUUUUAUUGAUUUAGACUUUUAUUAUUUUCCAAAUUUUUAUUGAGAUUAUAAUCGAUGAUAUUAGUAAAUUAUUAUUGGCACUUCAUCAAUCAUCACUUGCGAUUACUGGUCCGCUUUUGACGUUUCAAAUUUAUAGUCUCUCUCGUUACUUGCAAGAAGUCAUCAAACUCAUUAUUAUCACUGUUUUCUACCUUUACUAAAUAAUUUUUAAAAUAAAAAAUUACUAUUUAAUUUUUAUAAUAUAAAAAAUUUAAUAAUUAAUUUUUUAAUUUUUAAAAAAUAUAUUAAAAUAUUUUUAUAAUUUUAAAAAAAUUUAUUAAUUAAUUCUUUCAUUAAAUUUUAACCGUUAAAUUAAAUAUUAUAAAAAUAUUAAAAAUAUUUUUUCAUAUGAAAUAAUUAUUUAAUAAAUAUUUUUAUAAAAUUAAAAGAUUAUCUAAUUAAUUUUUUCUUAUAAUGUAGAAGCUACAUAAUGAAAUAUUUAACUGUUAAAAUUUACGAAUCGUUAAUUAAUUUAUUUUUUAAUAAUUCAUAGAGAUAUUAAUAUAUUUUUUGAAAUCAAGAAAUUAUAUAUUUAUUUUUUUAUAUUAUAAAAAUUAAAUAAUAAAUUUUUCUUUUUAAAAUUAUAAAUGAUUUGAAAUAACAUUUAUGUUUUAAUUCUACGUUAUAUAAAAAAAUCAGUACAACAUAGACAUUGUGGGUUAUUUAUCUGACUUGUUGGUUUAUUUUAUUUUCACCCAACUAAAAUUAAGUAAGAGAGAAUAAUAAAUUAAAAAUUUAUUAUUAAUAAUUAUUUUAAAAAAAUUUAUUAUUUAGUUUCUAAAUUAUAAGAAAACUCAUUCCUCAAUUUUAAAAAAUAUAUUAAAAUAUUUCUGAUUUUUUAAAAUUCUACUAUAUAAUUUUUUCGUUAAUUUUAACCGCUAAAUUAAUUUCUUAAUUUUAUAAGAAAAUUAUUAACUAAUUAAUUUCUCUGUAUUGAGUUUGUAUUUUUUUAAUAAUAUUAACGAUUAAAAUUAAUGAAGAGAUUAAUUAUUAAAACUUUUGAAACCUAAAAAAUUUAAUAUAUUUUUAAAAUUAAAAAAAUAACUAGUGAAUUUUUUUAAAAUACAGCUUUAAAUGAAAAAAAAAAGAUAUAAGUCCAAUGAAAUUCAUGUAUUUCUAUUUAAUGAUCAAAUAAAAUGAAUUUAAAUUUUUUUAUCAAUUAAGUCCUUGUAUAUUUAUUCAAAGGCUAAAUAAGUACUUGUCUAAUAUAAUAUUAUUUUUUCAUAAUAAAAAUACUUUUUUAUAUAAUAAAAUUUUAUUUUUAAAAUUUAAAAAAUUAUUUACUAUUUUUAUAUAUUUUUUAAUUUUUAUGUUAAUUAAAAACUAAAAAUUUCAAAAGAUAAUAUUUUAUUAUUAAAAAAAUAAUAUUAUAUUAUAUCAAAACUUAUUUCAUUUAUUUUUUUAUUUUUUUAAAUGAGAAAAAAUAUAUUUUUAUUUAUUUUUAAUCUUUUUUAAUAAAAUUAUAAAAGGAUAAUAUGAUUAAAAGUAAUAAAACGUUAAAUCUCUCGAAUUGAGUGGAAUACAUUUAUCAUCUGAUUAAGAAUGCAAGUAUUUCAUAUUAUUUUUUGAAAAAAAUACACUUUAGUACAAUGUAUUUUCGUGCAUUUAAUAUCAAGAGUCUAAACUUUCUUUUCUUGCAAAUGAGGACCUGCACUUUCUCUUUUUGAAGUAAUCUGAGCGCAAAUAAUUAACGUUAUUCAAUUUUGUUAAUGUGGCACGAUGACAUUAUCUCUAUUUAAUGAUGUGAUGUUGAUGUGAAAUAAUAAUAUUAUUUUUAUGAUAGAAUGACAUACUAUAUACAUCAAUUUUAUGAAUGAUGUGACAUUUUACAUGAUUCUCUAUAUAAGCUAUUAUGACAUCAAUUAUUAUGUAAUCCUUAAGUAAAUUUUUUAUAUUAUAUUGUGAUAAUUUAGCAAUUACAUAAUAUUUUUUAUUAAUAAUUAAUGAAAGUUUUAAUGGUUGGGUAUAAUUAAUAAAAGUUUAAAAAUGCAUACAUAAAUUGACUAUUUUAAAGUAUAGAGUAAAAUUGUAAAAACUAUAAAGUAUAAGAUUUUUUCAGUAAUUAUUUCUAAAAGGAUUGUUUAUCGUUUUUUUAUCAUACUCUUCCAGUUUGUUUAUAUCUUAUUUAACCUUCAAGGUUUGGACUUUAUUUUAUAGGUAAUUGAGGAUAUUUAUUUUAAUUUUUUUCAUUGAAAAACCAUAUGACAAUUAGCAUCAUUAUAUGGAACUUACUUGUAAAUCCACAUCAUCAUCCUAGAUGAUGUGAUAUCAUAUGAAGAUGAUGUGGCAUGCCACAUUAUAAUAAAAUGCAUGGUACAUCAACAUUACAUGUUUAAAUGGAGAUGAUAUCAUCAUGCUACACCAAUGAAACUUAAUAUGUUUAGUUAAUUAUUUUUGUGACAUUGAAAAGAGAAAGUAUAUAUUCUCGUUUGUAACAAAAAAGUUUAGACUCUGAUACUAAACAUCUGAAAAUACAUAGUACUAAAAUUUAUCUCAAAAUUUUCAAAUUCAUGUAAAUACACUUGCUAUAAGAUUAAAUUUGUAAAUAUUUAAAAAUAAGAGUACCUCAUUUUUUUUACAUGGAAGGACUCACAUGACUCUAUAAUAAUUGAAAUCUUUAAUUUCAACUUAAAUAUUUUUUUGACAAAUCUUAUAUAGGGUUGUUACAAUAUAAAAAAAAAAAAUAAAUUGGUUCUGUUUAAAUUUUACAUAAAUUUUAGAGUUAAUAACAUAAAAAUUCUAUUUUUUAGAGUACCUCGAAUUAACUCACGUUUUAAAUUAUUUUUUUUCUGAAAUUCACACUGAUUAUUAUUAUAGUUUAAAAAAAAGUAUAAUUAAUAACAGAUUGAAAGUAAAAAAAUUACUAUUUAAGAAAAUAUAUUAAAAAUAAUUAUAAUUAUGUUAUUAUUUUGCAUUCACAGCUUAGUCUAGUGGUAAGUACAUAAUUAUUUUAUUAUUUUAUAUUAGUCUGAUGGUAAGUACAUCUGAGUAAAUCUGAGAGGAUUGACUCUCAAUCCUCAAUUUUCACUUAAAAAAAAUUAUUUUAUUAUUUUAUAUUUUAAAAAUAGAUCAUGUGAAAUAUAAUUUUAACCAAUUUUAUAUUUUAAAUUAGGAAACACAAUUUAUAUAUGUGGUUGAUAAUACACUUUUUUUUAAAUUACUAUAAUAAUUUUUUAAAAAAAAAUUAAGAAGUGGGUUGAUUUGAAAUUAAUUGGAAUAAAUUAAUGCAAUAAAUUAUUGAUAACACUAAAAAACUUAUAAUAAUAAUAUAAAUUAUUUUUUAAUAUUAUAAUUUUAAUUUUAAGAGAAAUAAUAAAAAAACUCACUAUAUUUAAAAAAUAUAUAUAAUUACACUUUAAAUUUUAAAAAUUUAUUAAUUAAACUAUAAAUUUUAAAAUUUUAACUAAUUGUAUUAUAAAUUUUGCUGCCAUGGUAAUAUAUAUCAAAUAAUAUGAUAAUUUAAUUAAUUUUUAGUAAAAAUUCUGAAAUUUAAAUGCAAUUAAAAUAAAUAUAAAAAUAUAAAUUUAAUUAAUGAAAUAUAAAAAGAUAAAAUUUAAUUACAAAUAAUAAAAAAAUAAAAUUUUUUUAUCAUUAACUCUAAAUUUUAUUAUAUAUUUCUAUCGUCUUCUUUUUCUUUUAGUCAAGUAUGGGGAUAGUUCAACAUAAGUCAUUAGUCAUGGAUUGAAAAUUAGCUCACUUUGACUUUUCAAACACCAGUCUCUCUUACAAAGUCACUACCUACCGACAAUGCUAUUCCUUAGGAUGAGAAAAGGAAAUGAAGGGAAAAUGUUCAUACAAACAAUCUAUAAUAUUCCUAUAAUUUUUGUCAUUUCAUUCUAAAUAUAUUUGUAAUCCGACCGUUUAUUAUAAAUAAUUUUAUAAAAAAAUUUAAUAAAAUUAUGAAAAAUUAUUUUAAAUAAAAAAAUUAAUUGAAUUAAAUUCUUAUAAAAUUUUUAAUUCAAAACUGAAGAAAUAUUCCAUUAAAAUAGAUUUCCAAAAACUACAUAUAAUGGUUAUAAAUUACAUAAUAAAAUGUUAACUAUUAUUUUUACCUUAAAAUUGGAUUAACAUUCCCUCUUUAAUUAGAAUAAAAUUUUGAGAAAAAAAUAUAAUUAAAUUCUUAUAAACUAUAUAUAAAUUUUUAUUUUUAAAUAAAAAUUUUUAUAAAUUAAAAGAAUUAAAAUUUCCCAAUAAAUAUAAAUUGAAUAAGGAGGAAAAAGAUAAGGAAGUGAAUGAAUUUUCAAAGAGUCGACGAUUUGUCCGAUAAAAUAAAUGAAUAUGAUGCAUUAAUAACCUAAAAAUAAAUAAAUAAAAAAUUAUUGAAGUAAAUUUCUCGCUGGGAGGGGUGGCUCUUCAUCAUUCAUCACUUUGCAAACUGGUCUACCUUUGACGUUUCAAAUUUGCAGUCUCUCUCAUUACUCGGAAGAAGUCAUCAAACUCAUUUAUCAUAGUUGCUUUUAACAUUUAUUAAAUAUUUACCUAAUUUGACAAACUAAUAAAGUAAAGAUAUUUGCACUCACAGACUUAAUCUGAUAGUAAGUGCAUCUGAAUAAAAUAUCAGGUUUUAUUCCCUAAUCCUCAAUUCUUAUUUCAAAAAAAAGUAAAGAUAUUUGUGUACAAAAAAAUAUAAAUCAUAUAUAAUUAAAAAAAUAUUUAAAUUAUUUUUUGACAAAAUAAAUUAUUUUAAAUGAAACUAAUAAAAAAUAAAAGCGAAAAAACAUCUUAAUAAUGAAAAUAAAAAAUUCAGUAUCAAAAAUAUAUUUGUUAUCAUUUAGGCAAUUAGAUGAGAAAUCAAAGUAAACAAAUUAAAGUCAUAACUCUGAAAUUUUUCAAAAAAAAAAAAAAGGGAAUGGCAAAUGCUCUCGCAUUUGACAAUAGCAACCAUGCUACCUCCAUGGAGGAGGAGGAUCUGAUUGACAGGAGUACAAGGAAAAAAGUAAAGAGUUGCCUGAUGAUGCUCCGGUUAACUACCUAGACGUGGAGGACCAAGAGGUUUUGAAUGGUGGGACAAUGAGGGAUGAUAAGGAGCCGGAGAAGCCUGAUCUCCCUAAAUCUUCUUUCAAAGACACGUUGUUGAAUCAACAUAUGGGAUUAGGGAUGCUUGUUUUGAUGAUGAUGCAAUGAGUGAAGCAUCAUGUGAAUCUGAUGAUGAGGGGGAUGCUACUUGCUCCUGGGUUAAAAUAACGCCAGAAGAAAAGAAUAGGCUCAGACAGCCUUGGUGAAACUCUUUGAUUCUUAAACUUUUGGGACGUUCGAUUAGUUAUGUUUAUUUAUCAAAAAGAAUCUCUGAGUUUUGACGUCCGAAGUCUCAUUUCAAUGUUAUAGCUCUUAAUAAUGGUUAUUUUUUUAGUAAAAUUCACUAGCAAGCAAGACUAUGAUCAUGCACUUUUGGGUGGACCUUGGAUGAUUGCUAAUCACUAUCUUACAAUAUGGCGAUGGCAUCCUGAGUUUGAUCCGUAUGCUGCUAAUGCUUUAGAACGACUUACAGACUUAUAGUCUGGGCCAGGAUUCCUUGCUUACCUAUUGAAUACUGCAAUGAUGAGUUCCUUUUGAGAAUUGGGAGCUUGCUCGGAAAACCUAUUAAGGUGGAUCGAAAUAUAAGUAUGGUGAGUAAAGGACACUACGCCAGGAUUUGCAUUGAGAUUAACAUGGAAAAACCCUUAGUGGCCAAAUUCAAGCUUCGCCGACAUGUCCACCUGGUGUGUUUCGGUUGCGGUUGAUAUGGCCAUGAAGCCGAGAAGUGCUCGGCGAGGGGAGGCUCUUGCAGUGCUGGUAAUCCUGCGGGGAAAGCCUAUGCUAAUGAUCCGAUUGAUUUGGAUAAGGACAAGGGAAGAGCAAUCCCUAAUAAUUCGAUGAUUGCCAAUUAUUAUGGGGAUUGGAUGCUUGUCAAAAAAGAUAAGAGGAAUUUCAAAAAAGUCUCUAACAAAGUCCUAGUCGACAAGGAGUCUUCUAAGGAGAAAUUUUCUACUAAGGAAAAAGGGACAAAACCUUUGACGGACAGUUCUAAUCGAUAUGCUGCUUUGGAGAUUAAUGAGCCAGCUCUUGUUGAGCCCAUAAGACUACCUCCCUCUAAUACUAUUGAUAAGGGCUCAUCCCGAGCUGGGCCGUCCUCUAGUGGCCCGCAAACUAAAAGAUUUGCCAGUAAAAACCCAGUGAGACCUGAUGCUGGAGAUACUGGGAUAGAUAUUACUUCUAUUCUUACCAAUUCUUCUUUAGUUUCGAAUAAAGUGGCUACUGUUCCUAAACCUAAAAGAGCUGCGGAGGAGACAGAACAUGUCCUUGUUUUUGGAGGAAAGAAAAUGCUUUGAUUUCUCGUACUAUUACCAACCGAGGUGUUUUUUCUAACCAUGACAACACUCAUGCAAAUGGUAACCUAGACAUUCCUAAUGCGGAGAAUUAAUUUACGCAUCCCUCUGCUCCUAAUAUUGACGAGAACCUGGAAACGAAUGUGAUUCAAGAGAUGGACAUUGUUCUGGAGACUCCCACUUGAGGGGGGUAAUGCUUUAGCCUCUCGUCUGGGGGGAGAGAUGGUCAAUUGAUGUCUUCGUGUCUUUGGUUUUGAUUGGAUUUUUUGCCAAUGGGGUUUUCUCUUACCAUUACUACUAUUAUUUUAAUGAUAGUUAUUUCUUGGAACUAUUAAGGUGCCGCCUCCCCUACCUUUCGAAGCGCUUUCUCGGAAUACAAGAGACUCUUUAAACCUGUCAUCUUCUGCAUUAUGGAGCCUAAGGUGAGUGGCACUCAGGAAGAUGCUAUUUGUGGUAGGUUGGGUUUUGAUAAUUGGAUUCGAGUUGAAUCUCUGGAUUUCAGUGGCGGUAUUUGGAUUUUCUGGACUGAAAAUAACUUCAGCAUUCAGCUUAUUGAAUCUCAUCCUCAGUUUGUUGCUUGUAAAGUUCUGCCUGUGUCUGGUGUUUUUUGGAACCUAUGCUUUAUUUAUGCUAGCCUCUAUAGCCCAUGCAGACGUAUCUUGUGGACCGACUUGAAGCUUGACUAUGUUUAUUUGAGUGAUGAAUGGAUGGCUUUGGGUGAUUUUAAUUGUGUCCCUUUCCAAUCUGAGCUUUAGGGAUACAGUACGUUUAAUAUUUCAGGAGCGAAACUUUUUUCGGAUUGGAUUUUUUAUAAUGGUUUGCUGGAUAUGGGUUUUGAAAGCUCGACUUUUACUUAGUCCAGGGGUCUGUCUUCUCAUUCCCUCCAAAGGGCUCGGCUUGAUAGAGCCCUCUGCUCCCCUAAUUGGCAAUUUCGUUUUCCACAUGCUUAUGUUACUCAUCCUGCCAAAUUUCAUUCGGAUCAUUGUCCUCUGGUGGUUUCUUUGAACAGACAUGUGCACCAUAUGGAGGGUCCUUUUCGUUUUCAGCUUGCAUGGAUGAACCAUGCAGAUUUGGGGAUGAUUAUUGGUAAUGCUUUAAAUUUAUUAAGAAUUUGGCUUUGAAUUUACGCCUUUGGAAUCAAAAUUCUUUUAGUAAUUGAUAGCGGUUGUCGAAGCCGUCAAAAAUAAACCUAUUAAUCAAUCAACAAAUAAAUUUGUAGAUAGUGGCAAUAGGGUCGAACCACAGGGAUUUGACACUACGGAUUUGACACUACGGAUUUUCCUAAUAAUGAUUUGGACAAGUAAAUAACAAACAAAUAAAAACAAAUAAAAGGAGGGGGUUUUGUUUUGAUGAUUAAAACUAAAUAGCAAGAGAAAGCAAUAAUUUAAAUAGAUGAGAAUUUCAAUAGGAGAAGGAUUUUAGUUGAAGCAUGGAUCUAUUUCAGUUUGUUUAGAAUUGAUCAUUGACUCUUUUUGAUAUUCCUAUUUAUUUCAAUAAAUUAGUUUAGGAUGUGGAAGACGCUUCUCACGAUCCAAAUUUCUCCUUAGUUUUAGUAUGAUUAGGAAACGUUCACUAAUCAAACACUAGUUAACAAGUUGCCAAGGAACGUCCUGGGGAAUUUUUACUUUUCAACUGUUAACUGCCUUAAGACUUAGAGAAACCUAAUUCUAACCUUGACAACCGCGUGGUCAAGUUUAGAUUAUGCAACUGAUUAUAUUUGAGUUUAAUUGACCUUGAAAAGGCUUAUGACUGUCUCAACUGGGAGUUUAUUGGGUGGGUCCUUAAGGAAUAUGGUUUCUCAGAUUCUUGGAUUGAAAAUAUUUUAAAAUGUGUCACCUUUGCCUCCAUGUCUGUUUUGUGGAAUGAUUCUAGAUCAGAUAAGUUUUUUCCUUUCAGGGGUAUUUGACAAGGUGAUGGGUUGUCGCCGUACUUGUUUGUCAUGUGUAUUGAAUAUUUGGCUUGUCUUAUCCAACAAUCUGUCUGGGAUGGGUUUUGGAAGCCGAUUCCUCUAUCUAGGUGGGGCCCUCUUAUCUCUCAUAUGAUGUUCGCCGAUGACAUGGUUUUAUUCGCUGAAGCAAGUUUGGAGCAGCUUCAACAUAUUAUGGCUAUUUUGGAAGUUUUCUCGGCUGUUUCGGGGCAAAAUGUUAAUAUUACAAAAUCUAGCCUUUAUGUCUCUCUCAAUGUAUCUACCUCUUUGGCUACUUCUCUGGCUAGCUUUUGCGGUUUCACUUUAACGAAGGAUUUGGAAAGUUAUUUGGGGGUUCCCACUAUGCAUGAAUGUAUUAAUAAGGGCACUUUCCGCUAUAUUCUUGACGGCAUGAAAAAAAGACUUGAGGGUUGGAGGGCUAAAACCUUUUCCAUGGCGAGUCAUACUACUUUGGUGAAAUCUAUGCUAUCUUCUUUGCCUAUAUACCCUAUGCAAUUUAACUUGCUGCCAGUUUCUCUUUGCAAGGAAAUGGAACAAGUGUGCAGAGACUUCAUUUGGCAAGGUAGUAAUCAAUCCCCUAAAGUUCACUUAGUUGCUUGGGAUAUUUUAAAAUGUCCUAGAGAUCAUGGGGGCUUGGGGAUUCGUGACUUUUCUACUAUGAAUAAAGCUCUUUUGGGAAAAUUGGCUUGGCGGACUAUGGAGAAUGAUGAUUGCCUUUGGACUAAGUAUUUCAUUAAAAAAUACUUACAGGGCAGAUCCCAAUGGACCCCUAAUGCUGCAGCCUCCUCAUCUCAUAUCUGGAAAGCCUUUUGCAAAGGUUAUGGGAGUAUUAAGGAUGGUCUUAUGGUGGAUGUUAGAAAUGGAUCCUCUACGAAUUUUUGGUUCGAUUCCGGGCUUUUCAUAGGGCCUCUUGCCCAAUUUGCUUUGAUUCCCGUUGAUGACUCGAUGGCUACUGUUAGUGUGCGGCAUUUUUGGUCUCCAUUAACAGGUUGGAAUUGGGAUGUUUUGAAAGAUUUGCUUUCGGAUAAUAUUUUGCAAUUUAUUCAGCCGAUUUGCCUUUCUAAUGUUGCUGCAAAUAUUGACUCCUUGUCGUGGAAGUGGAGUUCUAAGGGCAAUUUUACCGUUCGCUCAGCUUAUAAUACUCUCCAUGGAAUUAAUAGUGGUCAUGGAAAUCCUCUAUGGAAGAUGAUUUGGACACUUAAAAUCCCUCAAAGAGUAUCUAUGUUUCUUUGGCAGGUUGCCCACAAGAAGAUUAUGACAAAUACGGAAAGAAUUAGAAGGGGUUUCACCUCUCAAGGUAUUUGUUCUAUAUGUAAUCUUGGCCAGGAGGAUAUCUUCCACUUACUUAGGGAUUGUAGAGAUGCGAAUAAUUUUUGGAUUAGUAUUGAUGCCUCUAGUUUCUAUUUCCAUUUUUUCACCAUUGUCGACUCUACUGAAUGGAUUUUUGCUAAUUUAAAGUCUAACUACACCUAAAUGGAUGGACAACAAUGGAACAUUAUUUUUCCUUUAGGACUCUAGUACUUAUAAAAAAGAAGAAAUAAGGUGAUCUUUGAGAGUCCUGCGCAGAACUCGCCUAUGUCCAAGCAUUUUAUUUUACAGGCUCUUGAGAAUACUAAAGCUUGGAAACAUGCUUCAGGAGUAGGCCAUACUAUUUCUAGAUCGUCCACCACCUUCAUUUCAUGGUCCCCUCCUGCUAUGGGAUGGAUUGCUAUAAAUACAGAUGGUACAGCUAAGAGUUAUCCAGGACCUGCGGGUUGUGCUGGGGUUUUUAGAGAUAGUAAUGGUGAUUGGAUUCUUGGCUAUCAAUCUGCCUUGGGUACUUGUACAGCAAUUGAAGCUGAGCUUUAGGGCAUUCUUCUGGGCCUUCGGACAGCGUGAGAUAGAGGAUGAAAAUUUGUGCAGGUUCAAACUGAUUCACAGGUGGCCAUGCAAUUAAUUGAUAAAAGCAUAAAUGGAGCAGGCCGAGUUAGGAAUCUAGUUUAUGAGAUUACGACUUUGGUGGGUUAUGCACGGGAAGUUUAUUUCAAGAACAUCUUUCGCGAGGCUAACUCUGUGGCUGAUUGCUUAGCGAAAUCGUCAAUUGGAGGCUUUCUUGGGAUGCAAAUUCUGGAAACGCCUUCUAUGGAGGCUCGUUAUUACUUGCAAGCUGAUGGGGUUAUAUGGCCUCAUGGCUUUACUAUGUAAAAAAGUAAACAAAUUAAAAUUAAAAGAAAUUUAACUAAAUCAUCCCUAAAAAAAUUUACUCAUUUUUUAUUUUGAUCCAUGACAAACUAUAUAUAUAUAUAUAUAUAUAUAUAUCUUAAGUCAAGUGUUUCUCUUCUUAGAUUGAUCUCUCAUAUGAACCCAUAUUAAUUGAUAAUAGCUACUUUAUAAAAAAAUCUAGAUAUAAAAAAUAAACGUAUUUUUCUUAGAGAGACAUGUCUCUCCAAGAAAGAUGUGUGUAGCCUACCUCCAAUAGCGAGAGACCCACACUACGAGAGAUUGGUCAUCUCCUUAUAAUUAGUCAUCGGUUGAAAACUAAUCCAUUUAUGCAAUCUCUUUCAGGAACUCACCACCAAUACUGCUUAUCCCUUAGGAUGGGAAAGGAAACGAAGGAGAAAAGUCAUAUGAACAAUAGAUAAAAUUUUCAUUCAUAAUCAUUCAAUUUUGAGUUCUUUUCGUUUCUAUCACUCAAUCUUAAUUUAUUUCGAUAAAAUCACUUAAUUUUAAUUUUAUUUCAACAGAAAUCAUUGUGACUUGCUAUAGCAGAUUUCUAAGUUAUCAAGCCCUCUAUCAAUUAUUCCUUGGUUCUCACCUUAUUUGUAUUUAAUUAAUUAAUAAUUAUUUAUUAAUAAGAUUAUAUUAUUUUUAAUAAAUUUAUUCUUAAAUUUAUAAUAAAUUAUAUGAUAUAUUAAUUUGCUAUUUAAUUUGAACUUUUCUAAAUUUUUUUAUUUCAAAUUGGUGCAUAUUUAUUCAAAUUUAAGGAAAUCUUAUUAGUAAUAUGCCCUGUAAUUUGAUAUUAUUAUUCAUGUAUUUUAAAUAUUUAAAUACGUUUUUAUAAAAACUGUUAUUUAUUUUUAAUGUUAAUUUAAUUGAAUUUCGAGUAAAGAUAAAAUUCAUGAAUUUAUAUUAAUGUGCAAAACAAAUUAUAAUGUGAUCAUAAUUGUGAAAUUUCACUUGCAUUUAAGUUAUAAUAUCUCCAAAUAUUCCUAGUUGAUAUUCUUAUUAUGAUUUGACAAUAAUUAGAAUUGUUGAGACGGGUACAUAUUAUGUUAUUUUUUUAGAGGAAGAAACUGAUCUCAUAAGAUAAGAUAUAUGAAAUAUAUAUAAUUAAUAUGUAAGUGUUUAUUUCAUAAAUAAGUGCACUGAACAGACUAACAUGAGAAAUCCAUAUGGAAAUAACCUGUGUAUAUGGAUUACUCAAGUGAUGGUUGUGUAAGUGAUAUUUUGACUUGAAAUCAAUAAAUAAUUUUAUAUAUGAACUUUUAUAUUAUGAUUCAUCUUACAAAUUACUUAGUUCAUAAGUAAUAAAUGAGAAUGAAUUAGAUAUAUUAGAAACUAUAUAAAUGUGUUUAUGUGAUUGAGAUAGAUUUCAUUACCCUAGGUUAAAUUAGAGAAUGUCUCAUUUAUCCUCUGUUAGCAUUAAUCAUUAAAUCAUUUUGCAAGGUAGAAUGAAAUAAGCAAAUGAGAUUUGAAAUUUCAUUUAAUAGGUCAUGAUUAAUAAAUGAGGACUAAUAUAAUUGAAUAUCCCAGACACGUUCCAUAAAUUAAAUGUUAAAUCGGGAUAUUUCUGAUGAAGGAUAUUAAUUACACUUACAAACCAUAUAAAGGUUAAGUCAAACUUAAGUAAAACCACUUUUUGACAUUUCAAAUAUUUAGGUAGUUUUAACAUAUUGCUAGACUAUAUUAUUGACCUUCAAAUUAAUUAAUUAGUUAAUUAUAUUUUGUUGUCAAUAUAUUUGAAAUCUGAUGGGUCACACCCAUAAAUAAUUGCAUGAGAAAAUAAAACCAAAAGUUAAAUUAAGUAUGAUUUAAGUACAUAUAAAUUGAUAUUGGAAUAAAAUUAUAAUUUGAAAGAAUUAUGAUUUUGAUAUAAUUAAUUAAGUAUGAAUUAAUUAAAAUUGUCUAAGAUUUAUAUACCUCGUUUAAUAAAAUUCUAGAUUAUAGUUAUAAUUUAUUUAUUUAAUUAGUUAAAUAAAUAAAUAAAUAUUAUUAUACUAAAAGGAUAUCUUAUGAUAGCAUGUGCCUCUCUAACAGAAACCCUUUUGAGAGCUUCUAGAAUGACAUGUUCCCUUUUAUGUUUCCAGAGAAUUGUUUUUAAAAUGUUCAUAAUCAUCCAAUUAGGAUGAUAUGUUAGGGGUGUAUGUUUAUGUAUGUGAUAUGUAUGAUAUACAAUAAUAAUGCCUAUGCAUGAGACUUUAAUAGAAAUCUUAGGAUUAAAAUCUCUAAUUAAAAUUUGAAGUAAAUGUUAAGAACAUGAUGACUUAUCACCUAUUAUUAUGGCAUAAAAUUAGAUUUCGGUUUUUAUUAACUUGUUAGGCAAACUCAAAAUUAAUUUCAGUCGAAUAUGUUUAAUGCUAUGAAAUAUUUGAUAUUUUUGAACAAUGGUUCUAUUUAACUAAAUUACUUGAUUUGGAUAGGCAAAUUCAUGAUCAUGUAAAUUUAGGGUAAGAGUUAAGCAUAAUAUAUAAGAUAUGAUAAAAACAAAUAUUUGUCUCUAACUGAUCUGAGAUGUGAUUGAUAAAUUAUGUUAUCUAUUUAAUUUAAUUUAUAAUAAUUUGUUAAGUGUAUUAAUAGAUUUAGUCUGGUGAUAAGUAGUUCUGAGUAAAUAUGAGAAUUUUCAGAUUCUACUACCCGAUCUCAAUUCUCAGUUACAAAAAAAAUAAUUUGUUAAGUAAGCUCAAAGUUAUUUUAAUUAAAUGAAAUUCUAACCUACUCGGAGAUCUAAUUAUUUAUCCCUAUAUAGCAUAGUUGAUACUAAUAAAUUGAAUUAAAUUGAGAUUUUUCAUUCAGUUUAGGAGCCCUAUAAUUGUAAUAAUGGAGUAAAUUGGCCCAGAUUGACGUUUCAAACUUGCCAUUACUCAUCACUUGCAGGAAGUCAUCAAGUCUUCACCACCACACCCGUCUACGUCUCAGUUAGCUAGUCAAGUACAUGCACUUGUUUGAAAUUAAUAAUUCUCUAAAAAUUCAAUUAAAUUGUUUUUAGUAAUUUAUUUUUUUUAAUUUAAAAAUAUUCACUUUAAAAGAAAAUAUAAAUGAUACGUAAUUAAAAAAAUUAUUUAAAUUAUUUCUGAUAAAAUGAAUUAUUUUAAACAAAAUUAAUAAAAAAUAAAAGAAAAAACAUUUUAACUAUGAAAAUAAAAAAUCAAGUGUCAAAAAUAUAUUUGUUAUCAUUUAGGCAAUUAUAUGAGAAAAUUAAAGUAAACAUAUUAAAACUAAAAGAAAUUUAGCUAAAUCAUCCCUCAAACAAAUAUAUAUAUAUAUAUAUAUUUUAUGUCAAGUGUCCGCUGAAAGGAUAGAACUACGUAAGAUAGUCUCCAAUAAAAGAGAGACCCAUUUGAGUCUCUCUUGUGAUUCUAGUGAUGCCACAUGAAAUGAGAGACUCAAUAAAAGAAGAGAGAGACUUGUAUCUCCAAUAAAAGUCUCUCUUUUUUGAUUGAUUUCUCACAUAAAUUUAUAUUGAUCGUCGAUGGCUACUUUAUUAAAAAAAAUCAAUGCAUUUCUUUUAAAGAAUUUCUUCAAAAAAGACGUGUAUAGCACCUUCAAUAGUGAGAGAUCUAUAUUGUGAGAGAGAAAUUGGCCAUCUCCUUGUAAUUAGUACUUGUGACUUUUUAAAUAUGCGAUUUCUCUCAAAAAGUCACUACGUAUGCUGCUUAUCCCCUUAGAAUGAGAAAAGGGAAUAAAGGAGAAUGUGAUAUGAAAAAUAGAUAAUUUUCAUUUAUAAUCAUUCAAUUUUGAAUUCUUUUAUUUCUUUUGCUUGUUCUUAAUUUAUUUUAAUAAAAUACUUAAUUUUAAUUCUAUUUUAAUAGAAAUCAUUUUAACUCGCUAUUCUAAGUUAUCAAGUCCUCCGCCUAUUAUCCAUCAAUUCUUACAUAUUUGUAUUUAAUUAAUUGAUAAUUAUUUAUUAAUAAAAUUAUAUUAUUUUUAAUAGGUUUAUUGUUGAAUUUUAUAAUCAAUUUUAUGAUAUAUUAAUUUGCUAUUUAAUUUGAAUUUUUCUAAAUUUUUUAUUCUAAAUUGGUGCAUAUUUAUUCAAACUUAAGGAAAUCUUAAUGCCAAGAAACCAUUCCUUCUCUUGUUUUUCAAAUAAGUAAUAGAAUACAAAUAUUUAAAAUAAUUUAAUCUCUUUAGUUUAAUUCCAGUACUAAUCUCUAUUUAAUUUAAGUCCUAUUAGACAUAAAUAUUUAAAUGUAUUUAUAAAUUUAUAUUUGUAUUAUUAUCAUUUUUUUUAUUAGAUAAUAAAGCUCAAAAUUUAAUGUUAAUAAUUAUUUUAAUUAAUAUUAACUAAAACUUAUUUAAUUUUAUAAUUCAAACAUUUUUAAAAGAUUAUAAAUUAAAAGAAAAUAUUCUUUGCUGGCUUCAGCUAAGAAGCAAAAGCGAGCAAAUAAGAUUGUGGAUAUCUAAUUUUAAAAAACAGAUUGUAGAAAGUAAUGGCAGAGUAAUUCAAAAGAAAUGAGCCUUUCUUUGACUUCCUUGUUGUGGUUGAUUGUAUUCCUUGCAGAUCAUGGAUUAUGAUUUGAAGAUUGCAACACAACGAAAUGUGGGAGCUACGGCCCAGCCGUCUGGUUUCCGUUUCGAAUCAGAGGCAAGCAACCACGCCACUGUGGCUAUCCUCAACCUGAGUUUCACCUUUUUUGCUUUGAGAAGAACGAUACUGUUCUUGAGCUCACGACUUCAUGGAAACUUUUCAUACAAAGCAUUGACUAUAAUUAUGAAAUAACUAAUGAAAAGGUAAAGAGGCACUUGAUGACUGCUGAGCCACUAGUACUUGGGUCGUAGUCGAGUCUUUGUAUGAGAGUCAAUACCAAAACCCACUAUGUAAAAUGAUCCAUUAGCGCACAGCCCUAUCCCCAGUCGAGCAGGUCGGGCUGACCAGAGGCCCAGUCCCUCUAACGUGGUAGGGAAGUAGGGGAACAGGCCUAACUAUACCACGGUCCUAACAGCAUAAGCGCCGAAAGAGAAUUAAAUAGCCGCAGGUACGUCCAUACGUACAACUCUGCGUGCCACGGAUAGCACUGUAGCAGGGCGGCAGUUAUGUAUCACUAGAGGAUAAGGGAAAAAGAAAGAAUAGAGGAAAAGGGAAAAAGAAAGAAAAGAGGAAAGCGUGAACUAGGCUAAGUUUUUCCACGCACAGAAACCCUAUUUUCUAUUUGGAUCUAGGAUCAUCAAUCAUAAUUCAAGAUAUUAAAAUUAAAAAUACGAAAACACUCAUAGAAUAAUACAAUAGAAUGAAAUUAAUAAAUCUAUGAACUAAUUAAGUAUUAUCAAAUUUUAAAAAUACUACUUUAAAAUAUUAUAAUUAUAAUAAAACUCAACAUUAUUAUUAUAUUUACAUUGCAUACUAUAUUAAUAAAAUAAUAUAUAAUAAAAUAACAAAUGUAAUACCUUCUAAAUUCUGGCGUCGAAAUUUCAAAUUUCCGAUGAAAUCUUCAUUAAAAUAUAAAAUCUUGAGAUUAAAAAUCUUUAAAAAAAGAAUAAAAUGGUUUUUUAUAAAUGAAUUUAAAAUGAAUUUCUAAAGUGUUAAAAAAAAUAAGUUUUAACAAAAAUAAUUUUCAAACGCUAAAGAUGGGUCUUUGGCUUCUAAAGAUGGUCUAACCGACCCAACUAUAAAAGUGCUCAACUCGAAAAUAGAGAGAAGUUUCUUGAUGAGCUCCAACCUCCCUAAUACAUUCUUAUGAUUUCAUUAAUUUAUUUCUGCACUUUUUCUCAAAUAAAUUCCUUGGCUUUUGAAGAUUUAAGAUUCCAAUCUCUUGAACUUCAAGCUAAAGCCUUCAGCAUCUCUUCUCUUCAUUUCUUUUGGCUGUUAGAAGACAAACUUCUCUAAAAAGUAGAUUUCCAAUCUCUGUACUCACUAUUAUUCGUAGCUCAUACAUGGUAUUAAUGUGUGGGUGAAGGAUUUAAAGUAGCAUUGCUAUUAAUUUUAAACUUGAAGGAUAAAAAUCUUUUUGACUUGGAUUCUAGUAAUUGCAUGUUGUUUUUCUCUUGUGAUGACCUGGAAACUUGAAUGGGAUCUUCUGUUCUAUACCUAAAAGAAUUCAUGUUUUGCCUGUGUGUUAGAAGUAUGGGUUUUCUUUAGUUUAAACACUUUGAUUUCCUAUGAACAUGUGAUUUUAUUAUAUGCAUGUUGACCUUUCCUCUCUUUUUAGUUGCUGUGAGUUUGUGGAAGUGUUGGCAGCCAGAUUGGGUUGCUAGAUGUUGUGGUUACAAGUGUUUUUGGAGGCUGCUAAUUCAUAGAACAAGCUGUGGGAUUUUGGGAUAAUCCAUUCGGCGGCUGAACUUACAUUUUUCAGCUACCUCCUUUGGCAGCCUAAUGUGAUGCUUAACUUGAAGUUUUGAAUCUGGAUCAUGGACUUUAGAUUGUUGAAAGUCUCUUGUCAAAUCUUUUUGAGCAUUUCUUCUAUGUGUUUUGAGCUUUGUGUUUAUGGUUUCUUGGGGUAGCUUUAGAAAUAUAAAAGUUUAUAUUUGAUCUCUCAUUUAAAUCCAUCCAUGUAGGAUUAGGCUUAAGAGAUCAUUAAGCCCCAUAGUGAAGUAACUGCAUUUCCGGUACAAAGUAUAUAUACAAGAGGUGAGUAGAAUUAAACUAAGUUGAAUGAAAAAUAUAUUAAUCUCUAAAAUAAUAUAAGAAAAAGUACACUUUAGUUAUCUAUAUUUUCGCAUUUUUGCACCUUAGUGAUUAAAGUAACUUUCGUUGCAUUUCAUUUCAGAGUCUGAACUUUUGCACAGUUAGCAAUUUAAGAAUUUAGUCCCUAAUGGUAUUAGAUAUACUGAUGUGGCAUGUCGACAUCAUCACCAGUCUGACAUGGCAUGCUGACGUCAUUGUCAUAUAUGAUAUGGAAUGUUGACGUCAUCGUCAUGUCAUUAACUUUUUUUUAUGACCUAAAUACAAAAAUUUAAAAGUACAAGCACUUAAAUUACAAAUAAAAUAAAGGUUCAAUCCUUAACGGUAAAAGUGUGAAAUUUUCAAAAUGUAGGAAAAAAAAGUUAAGAAAAUAAGGAAGAGAGUGAGAAAGGGAGACAAGAGAAAGUAGUGAGAUAGAGAAAGAAAAGGGGGCAAUGGAAAAAAAAUUCUCUCUCUCUUCUCUUGUAUCUAUCUACCUACUUUACUUUAUUAUCUUCUCUUAACAUUUAUCUAUAAAAAUAAAUGAGGAAUUUUGAUAAAAAAUACAAAGUAAGAUAAAAAGGUACAAUAGAAAAGAGAGAUAUUUUCUCUUUUGCAAUGGUCUCUUUCUCCCUCUCUAUCUCACCAUAUCUCUCUCUCCUCUCCUCUCUCUUCUCUAUUUUAUUUUAUUUUUUAUACAUUUUAAAAGUUAUACAUUUUUAUCAUUAAGAAUUGAAAUUUAUUUUAUUUACGAUUUAAAAACUUGUACUUCUAAAUUUUUAUACUUAACAUAAUAAAGGGAUAGAUUGGUAAUAUGGUGAUGAUGUCAGCAUUUCAUGUCAUAUGACAAUGACAUCAGCACAUCACGUUAAACGUGGCGAUAAUGUCGGCAUGCCAUAUCAAUAUAUCUAAUACCGUUAGCCACUAGAUUUUCGAAUUGAUACCAUAGCGAAAGUUUAAAACUUUAAGAUAUAAUAAAGUUAUUUUAGUUCUUAAAAUGCAAAAAUACAAAUGAAUAGUGUACUUUUUCGAUAAUAUAUUAUUUAUUUCUAAUAAUAAACUUUUUAAAGUAAAAACUAAUUAACUCUAAAUAUUAUAUUACGUGUUUCUACUGGAUUACCCAUUUCUCUACUUGAAAAAUUUUCAAAGUUAGUCAGACUAAUAAGUGGCAGCAUCCAAUUGAGUCUAAGAUUAAGAAGCUAUUAGUUAUAAGUAAUUUCAAAUUACAAAAUUAUCGUAUAAAUUUUAAGGUUAUUGGUUGUGUAUAUUUUAUUUGUAAUAAUAUUAAUAGGUAAGUACUAGCAAAUUUCUAAAAUGAUUGACUUUCAGAAAAAUGUCUUAAUGUGUUUUACAUUGACUUUUUAAUAUCAAUUUUAUAUUUUAAUAAAGAAAAAAAAAGCCUUUUAAACUGUGAAAAAUUAAUUAUAAAUUAUUUAAUAACUAUUUAAAUUUUUUAAAAAUAGCUAUUUAAUCCGUAAUACUGUUAAUUCUUCGUUUAAAAAUUAAAAAAAAAAAAUUAAACAUUUAACCUCCUAAAAAAUAAUUUAACAGUAAAAAAAAUCUUUAUUGAAUAAAUAAAUUUAAUUUUUAAAUUUUAGUAUCUAGUUUAUAAAUAUACUUAUUUAUAUUUAUAUUGUUAAUAAAUAAAAAUAAUAAUUUUAUAAAAUAAAUAUAAAUCAUAUAAAUUUAUAAAUAUUUAAAUUUAAAAUUAUUAUAAAAUAUAAAAGAAUGAUUUACUUUAAAAAAAUCAAAUUACCUUUUAUUUUUCUUUAAUUAAAUAUCAAUUUUAAUAUUAAUAUCUCAUUUUUUUUUUGAAAUAAUAUUAAUAUCUCAUUUAAAAUUUUUAUUAAUUUAUAAGAAGCUAAUUAAUAUUUUCUAAAUAAAACUUAACUAUAGAAACUAUAAAAAUUAUUAAAAGUCAUUCAAAGCUAAUAAAAAAUUAUUAAAUAUUUUCUCAAUUAAUUUAUAAUAUUAUUUAAAUCCUAUUAAAUAUAAAAAAAAUUAUAUUUAAAUUUUUAAUAUAUUUUAUUAUUUUUCUUAUCUUUAUUAUAUAUACAUCAUAUUGAAAUAAUUGGAUUUUUUAAAAAAAACAUGUUAAAAUUUUUUAAGAGGUUUUUUAAUAUUAAAAUUUAUUUAGUUAAUAAGAAAAUAAAAAAAAUCCUUUAUGGUUUUGAUUGAUGUAAAACAUCUUUUAAUUUGCUAUUUAAAUUUAAAUGUUAAUUUUUCUAAAACUUUUAAAUAAUAUUUUAUUUAUUUUAUAAAUCUUAUAAAAUUAUUCUAUUCAUUUAUACCAAUAUAAAUUAUUUAUAAGUUAAAUUAUUAAAAUGUAAUAUUAAAAUUAUUUAUUUAAGAAUUUAAAUAAUUAUUAUGAUAUUUAUUAAGAGUUUUAUUUUUUUAUGGAAAUUUAACGGUUAGAUUUUAGAUUUUUUUGGUCAUUUUUAAUAAUUUAAAGGGUUAAAUUGAUGGUUUUAUUUAAGCGGUAUUUAAAUUUUGAUAAAAUUUUAAAGGAUCUAAAGAGGUUAUUUGCCAAUAAAAUAUAAUAAAAAUUUAUAAAUACUUAAAUUCAAAAUUUGUUACAAAAGUCUAAGUGAAUAAUUCACUUUAAAAACAAAAAAAUAAAUUAAAUUACUUUUUUCCUUAACUAAAUACCAAAUUUUAAUAUUAAUAUCUCAUUUAAAAACUUACAAGUAUUAUUAAAAUAUACAAAUGUUAUUAUUAAUUAUAAAUAAUAUUACAUAUGUAAGAUAUAUAAUAAAAGCCAUAUAAAUAUAUUGAAAUUUUAAUUUUUAUAAGAAACUAUUUUCUUAAUAAAGCUAAUAAAAGUCAUGAAAAUAUAGGCAUUGCUAACGAUAAAAAGUCAUUUAAAAGCCAACAUUUCAAUUAAUUUACAACAUAAUUUAAAUCCAUAUUUAUAUAAAAAAAAUUACAUUUAAUCUUUUUAUAUAUUUUAUUACUAAUUUUAUUUAAUAUAAUAUAAUAAUCGGUUAAAAUAAGUUAUGAGCGGAAUAAUCAUUUAUGAACGGACACUUAAAUAUAGAAUUACGUGACAAAAGUCUAGUAAGAUGAUAAUCAAUCCCAUCAAUAGAAAAAGAGACUCAUAUGCAACAUGUAAGAGUCUGGUCAGAUGAUACUCAAUCCCAUGAAAAAGAGACUCAUACGCAACAUACAAAAAUCUUGUCAGAUGAUACUCGAUCAAUAGAAAAAGAGACUCAGACGCAGCAGAUCUCGACUCUUCGCCAAAGACUCGCUCUCUUAGCUACAAGGCGAGACUCCAUGGAAAGUUACUGUUAUAAAACGCAAUCCAGCAGAUCCCCACUAUAUCUAUAAUUACGGGAUUCCUUUAUCUACUAGCCGGUGCUAUUUAGAUUUUUAAAAAUUUUGAUAAAUAACUCAAUCUUCUUAUAAUAUAUAAACUUGUGAAUACAUAAAUUAAAGUACGGAUUUUUAUAUAAUUACAUUGAAGUUUAAAAUAUCUCAUUAUACUCAUCUUUUUUUUCAAUUUAUUGAUUUAAGUAUCAGAAUGACGGCCAUAGAUACCAAUUACCUCACUUUAUUUUCUUAUAAAUUAACCAAUUGCAAUGCACUCUCAUUUUAGUCACAUUAUUAUUUUUAUUAUAUAUAUUAUUAUAAUAGUCGUAUUAAUGAUGUUUUAAAAAUAUUUAAAGGAUAUUCUCAUAUUAAAAUUUGAUUUUUAGUUAAUAAAAAAAUAAGAAAGAUAUAUAUUAUUUAUAAUUUUAAUUGAAUGUAAAUGAUCUUUUAAUCUAUUGUUUAAUAAAUUUAAAUUUUUAAAUUUUUAAAAUUUUAAAAUAAUACUUUAUUUAUUUUAUAAAUUUUAUAAAAUUAUUUUAUUCAUUUAUAAUAAUAUAGAUUAACAUAGUUUAUUUAUAAAUUUAAUUAUUAAAAUAUAAUAUUAAACUUAUUUUUUCAACGGACUUAAAUGAUUAUCAUGAUAUUUGUUACUCUCUUUAAUAUUUUUAUUUGGAACAUAGACUUUUUGUUGGAACAUAGACUAUCAUGUUAUAAGCUUUAUCCUGAAGAUUUUGGACUUUUUAAUGUAAUUUUUAAAAAUUUAAGGGUCUAAAUGGAUAAUUUUAGGGAUAUAAAUUUUGAUUAAUUACUCAAGGGUUUAAAGAGUUAUUUUUCCUUUUAUAAAUGUUAGAUAAAAUAUAUUUAAAUAAAUAUCUAAAAUUCUGAAAUUAUAUCUUAAAUAUUUUCAAUUUUCAUAAAAAAAAUAUUUAUUUCUCUAAUUUCAAAUUGUAAAUUUAUAUUUUUAUGACUGUAAUAUCAGAAAUUUUUAAACUUUCAUCUAUAAUAUUGAUAAAAAGAACUUCAUGCUAUAAAAUGUUAUAAAAUAUAGAGCCUUAUAAUUUAUAAUUUACAAAUAAUCUUAGUUUAUAUACCCUAGCUAAUAUAGCCUUGUGUGUCAGAAAAAGGAAGUUAACAUUAAUUUUAAUUUGUUAAAGUUAGAAAUUAAGAAAACUAAAAUUAUUUUGUUUAAAAGAAAUAAAAAUUGAGUUUAAACCAGCUUCAACUUUCGCAAAAAACCAUUAGAGGUAUUUUUCAGAAAGAAAUUAAAUCUCUAUUUGUCAGGAUUUAUUUUAUAAAAAAUGAAUUUAAAUAAAUUUUUAUAAAAUCAUAUAAGAAUUCUUUUUUAAAAUAAAAAAAAUUAAAUUAAAAAUUAAAAAAAUUAUUAAAAAAAAGUCAAUUAAAUUGAAUUCUUGCGCAAUUUUUCAUUCCAAAUAGAGGGUAAGCGAAUCGAGAGUGACUUCAACUUAUGUAGAGUAUGGGUUGAAACCGGAUUUGCAUAGGGUUCUGGCUGAGGAGGAGAUUGUUAUGGGCAAAAAAUUUUUCGCUUGAGGGUAAUCACAGUACCCUUUCUCCAUGCUCAGGUAUCAGUGAGACGACAAAUAAAUUUUAUGAAACACUCUAGGAUUCUGAAGAACGAUGGUGUUGAGAUAAGCAGGGCAUGGGUAAAGAAGUAGUGGCUGACUAUUUUCAUUGUUUAUUCUCCAAUCCUAUGGAUUCCUAUAAUACUUUUUUGCAUGUUAUUGAUUCAAAAGUUUUUUCUGAGGCUAUGCCAAGUUUGCUGCUUCUUUUACUGCAUAAGAAUUUAAAAAUGCUAUUUUUCAAAUGCAUCUACAUAAGACUUAUGUCCCAUAUAGCAUGAACCCAGCUUUUUAUCCAAAUUAUUGGAGUAAUUUUGGGGAUUCAAUGGUGCAGAAUUCUAUUCAAUAGCUCCAAGCAGGUUAUUUCCUUGAUACUCUUAAUGAUAUUAUAAUUGUACUUCUGAAUGAAUUAUUACUCCCCACAUAUGCUGAAGUGAUUGCUCAUUAGAUAAUCUCUCAUUUUAAAAAAAUACACUAAAUAUAAGUGAGAAAAAUAAUUUAAACUUUAACAUUCCUGCAACCUUAAAAAAUAAAAUAAAAGAAUAACUCUAUUUUUUAAAACAAAGAGAUUAAUUAAUAAUUUUUUUUAUAAUAUAAGAAUUAAAUAAUAAUUAUAUAGUUAUAUAUCUCUGUAUGAUCAAAAGAAAAUAAAUAUUUUUUUUAUAAAUUUUUUUUAAUUUAUUAUUUUUUAUUAUAUAUUUUUAAAAAUUAAGAGAUCAACUAAUGAAUUUUAUUAUAUUAUAUAGGUUAAAUAGUAAAUUUUAUUUUAUAAAAAAUUUAAAAUACAGUUAAUAUAAAGGAAAUAAUUAACAAAUAUUUUUACCUAACUGAAAUAUCAACUAAUGAAUUUUUUAUAUUAUAAAAAUUAAAUAAUAAAAUAUUUAAAAAUUAAAAUUAAUAAAAUAAUUAAUUAAUAAAUUUAUUAAAAUUUUAAAUAGUAUUUAAUCUAUUUUUUAAAAUUAAUGAGCUAAUUAAUAAGUUUUUCAUAGUAUAAGAAUUAAAUAGUAAUUUUUUUAUAAUAGUAAAACAAAAAUAUAAUUAAUUGAAUGAAUAUAUAUUAAAAAUUAAAUUUUAUUGAUAAAAAUAAAAUUUUAAAAUUAUUAAUAAUAAUUUAAUAAAAAUUAUAAAGAAAUAUAAUGAUUUGAUAAAAUUUAUAAAAAAAAAAUAAUAUUUGUAGUUUCAAUUUUUCAUUUUUUUAAUUUUAAAAAUACUUUUUAAUGAGUAAUAAAAAUAAAAAUAAAACACUGAACAUGUUUUUAAAUUUUUUAUUAAAUAAAAAAUAGAAAAUCACAAUAAAAAUGAACGCAUUCUUAAUUUAUAUAAUUUAAUAUAAUUACUUAUUUAAUCUUUUUAUUUUAAAUAUAUAUCAAUUAAUUUAUAUUUUUUAAAUUAUUAAUUAUUUAGUUUCUUUUAUAAUUAUAUAAUUAAUAAGUAGUUAUAAUUUUAAAAUUAUAGGGAUUGAGUAAUUAUAAUUUUAAUAUUUUAAGGAUUAAAUAGAUAAUUGUGUUCUGAAAUUGCAGAUAAGAGUGAUAAGAGCAUCUUAGCCAUUUCAAAUACUAACAAUGACGCAAAUAAACAUAAGGAUAAAAUAGUUAAGAGUUUCCAAAGACAUGGAUUAGUUAAUAUAUUUUCAAGCUAUGGGAUUCAAUAAUGAUUUGGACUAAAUAAUAAUUUUUAUUUUAAAAAACCCACGUACUCAGCCGUUGGUAACCGUCGAUAACUGGUCCCAAAUCGUUCCAUUCAAUUUCAAAAGUUUCUGUGCAAAUGCAAGUUUCAGGUAUUCUCUCUCACGAUCCAUCAUGGCAAUUCGUUAUCUCAUUCGUAUCUUGGGUUUUUUUUCCCUCUUCUUCCCCGCAUUUGAAUCUUCAACCUCAGGUACUCAUGGAAACCUUUCCUCUCUGAUUAUCACUUGUUUGAAAAAUUCGUGAAAAAAUCCUGUAAUCUAUGGCAGAUAAAGCAAAAGUUCCAAAUUUCGCUUUCAGUUGGUUAAAUGACAACAACACAUUCCAAGCUGGGGAUACUGCAGCCAUAAAGAUCAUAGUACUGGGAGAGUUUGACAGUAAAGGAAAUGCUUCACUUGAUAAGAAUGCUUUCAAUCCUACACUCACAGUGAAUGGGAAGAAAGGAAAUAGUUCUUUCGUUUCUGGGGUUUUCCUGGAUACUGCAGGGGAUACCAGUACCUGGAGAAUUACUUUUGCUCCAAUCAGAGUUGGGGUCUUUAAUGUCUUCAUCAAUGAUGAUCCUUUCAAAGUAUUUGAUUCAUCUCUCCAUUACGAAGCUCUGCCAGGUCCUAAAUGCAAUCUUUAGCAUUUAACUUCUAUUUUCGCUUAUUUAGAUAUGUAAGUUAGAACUUGUUUGAGGAAAAAUGUUUUCCCUAGCAAUCAAUUUGAGCCUGCAAUCUAUGACAGAAGGAUUUUGUUUUGUCUUCCAUUUUUAUUUUGGCUUUGUGCUCUAUCUGGGUUUUACUAGUUGUUUUGGANNNNNNNNNNNNNNNNNNNNNNNNNNNNNNNNNNNNNNNNNNNNNNNNNNNNNNNNNNNNNNNNNNNNNNNNNNNNNNNNNNNNNNNNNNNNNNNNNNNNNNNNNNNNNNNNNNNNNNNNNNNNNNNNNNNNNNNNNNNNNNNNNNNNNNNNNNNNNNNNNNNNNNNNNNNNNNNNNNNNNNNNNNNNNNNNNNNNNNNNNNNNNNNNNNNNNNNNNNNNNNNNNNNNNNNNNNNNNNNNNNNNNNNNNNNNNNNNNNNNNNNNNNNNNNNNNNNNNNNNNNNNNNNNNNNNNNNNNNNNNNNNNNNNNNNNNNNNNNNNNNNNNNNNNNNNNNNNNNNNNNNNNNNNNNNNNNNNNNNNNNNNNNNNNNNNNNNNNNNNNNNNNNNNNNNNNNNNNNNNNNNNNNNNNNNNNNNUCUCCACUUCCGUUGAAAGUGAAUCCAGGUGAUUGUGCUGUAGCUAGUCAUUUGUUCAUAGCUUGUAUUAGAGGGAUUCUUUUUGUAAAUAAGAGUUAUUUUUUUCAUGAAUUCACCAGUAAAUCUUUCUCAAGGUUUUCUUUCUUGAGAUAUUGAAAUUGAUGAGGUGUAUUACAAACUCACAGUACCAACUCAACAUUGUCUUGAAGUCCAUUCUUGUUAACAUGCCACAGACGGUUGCAUUAUUUCUGUGAAUUGGGGUGCUUUCUCACUUUGUAUCAUCAGUUUCUACGUGAACUUUGACUGUGAAGGUUAAUUUGUACAAGGGAAGAGAAGGGGAAAAGGGGAAAACUCAUUAGUGUCAUAUCCAAAUUGUGAUGCAGAUACAAAAUAGCUCCCAAGCCCAUGUUGAAAAUGUUUCUGUUGAUGCUGUUUGACAUGAGCUAACAUGGAAUUUAAGUUUUCUCUUGUAAAAAGCAUGACGUAAUUCCCUUUUUCUUUUUGACUCUUUAGAACCGUCUUUUUCCAGGUCCUCUAGACAUUUCCAAUUGCCUGCCAAAAUGGAAGUUUGAGACAAAUGCUUGGCAAAUAUUUUCCAAAAUGGAAAUUUUUAUACAUCAACAAGAUCAGUAUGGGAACCUUGUUUCUGGACUAUAUGAAUUUGAUGCUGAUAUUGUUGAAAGAGAGACAAAUCUGACUAUACCAGUUGCAGAUUUGCACUUUGAAGAUGUGGUUCCAGGAAUACAGUUAUUCUCUUUCAGUCUAUUAGAACCGGGAAACUUCUUGCUCACUAUAUCUGAUUUGGAGCAUAAUAGAAGCAUCUCCAAUAUGCCGUUUGCUUAUACUGUCUUUAUAGGUGUAUAACAUAUCUGCUAAUUAUUUUUUUUUGGAAAGUCUAAUGAUGUUAGUGUUGAGCUCUUGCUUUUAUCUACCCUACUCCCUCAAUAUUUCUUUUCCUUUUCCCUUCUAGAAUGCAACAAAUGUUUGGUCUACUAGUUAUUGAUUAUGGCUGUUGCCAUUGGAAGGGAGGCCAAAUUAAGUUUUGAUUCUAGUAGGUGACAAGCAGUGCUUGAUGCUAUUGCCUAUAUAUAUAAUGUAACUAUUUCUUUCUGAAAUCAUCACAAUAUUAAUUAUGUUUCAAUUUAACAGGUUAUUGUGAUGGAUCAGCCAGCACUGUCAACGGAUCUGGUUUAAAUGAUUCCAUUGCUGGUGAAAUUUCACAGUUUUCAGUCUAUUUGUUUGACAUUUUUCAAUAUCCUGCUUUCGUUGAACUAGGAAGCAUUAAAGUGCAGAUUGUAAGGGAAAAUGAUUCCUAUUAUGUGCAGCCAAGCAUUGUUCCAAUCAUCAAUGGUAUCUGAUAUUAUAAUUUCUUUCCUUUUGAUGAACAAUUUUAACAGUGGUUCACAAGGAGGCAUGCAUCUCUUUCACAGGAAAUGGACCUGCUCAAGAACUCAGCCAGACAGAAAUUUCUCCAGCACCAUCUGAUGUUACAAUGAACAUUGUAAGUUGUACUUAAUUAUUUCUUUCAGUCCAUUGUUGAGAAAUCUGACAUUCUUUCCUUCUUCUCUUUGAUUCAGUCUGCUGGACACUUUGAAGUUGCAGCCAGUGUUUUUCAUGUGAUUUAUACUGCUGAGAAGAGUGGGAUAUAUGAAAUAUAUGCAUUUUGUGGAAAUAUUUUACUGAGUGGUGUUCAAUCAUUCAGAAAGGAAGUUAAAGCAGGUUAGUCUUAUAUUUAUGUUUUGGGUUAGCCUCACUUUUAAUUUACAUUUCUUCCUUUCAUCUGUCACUAGUACCACGGUGAAAGCAUACAUUUAAUCAAAAUUGUGAUCAAUUUAUGUCAAUUAGAGAUUACUGAGAGAUGAUUUAAAAUUAAAUUUGAUGUUUUUAGCCAUAGGAACACUAAAACUAAAAAACAAGAUUUUGAAACAGAUUUUUCAAUAACAUCUAAAAAUUGGGGGCUUUCUUAAAAAUUUAGCCCUGCAACGACAAUGUCAAGCAGGCACUAAAGCUUUAGAAAGUGGAAUUGAGUUUUUGAAUGUGUAAUAAUAAGGUCAAUUUGCACUUUAGUGGUUGUGAACAAAAUGUUUCCUUUUAUUUUUAUAGUUAAUCAAAUAUCCACAACUUAAUGUUUUAGAUAUUAAAAUGCAGAUAAGAAACAAACUGUUUGGACUAAUGUAUGAUUUUUCACAUUUUGUUAAUUAGUAUGGGAAUAGAAUAAUUUUCAAAAAAAUUUGGUAUUCAAGCUAACUUUGCACUUGCAAUACAAUCCAUAGUUUUCAAAAGUGGUUUGGGUUGGGUUAACUUGGAACUAAACCACUGGCAUUCUGGUUUCAAAAUAGGUUUCUUUCUACUAAUGAAAAUAGAAUUCUUGCCCACUAGGGUUUUUGAACUCAAGACAUAAAAUUUGUGUUUUUUUCCCUUUCCAUCUAAUCAACUUACAUCCUUAGUGUAAGCUUGUCAAUAUUUUUUUAAAAUCUUUUACAUUUAUAAUAUAAUUCUUUUUAAUCUCAUAUUGUUUUUUUACGAAAAGUAAAGGUGUACAAUUGAACUUCAAGAUGGUAAAUUAUUAGUUUUUAUUUCAAUGUUUCAUUUUGCAUGUAUGGUUGCUACUUGCUAGUUACUGCUUCACUGGUGUAGUUACCUUCUGUUUUUCCCCUUCUUGUUUUAUUUUUUUUAAUUGUUUAAUCUAUAAUAAUGGUUACCCCAUAUAAUUGCGUGCAGUUUCUCCCUUGAUUUUUUACUAAAUUUUUUCUUGCUUUUCAUAGGUAAGGUUGAUGUAUCUCUUUCAAAAAUUGUGAAAUUUUCUCCCAAGGUGCCAAAGCUGAUUGAAAAUGAAAUGUGGGUGCAACUAAUGGAUUCAUUUUCUAAUCAUGUCUUGUCCCAACAGUCACUGCUAAAACUAGAGAUUGCUGUAAAUAGGUCUGGUUUUUCAACAGAAAUGUUUGUUGAUAAUAAUGAUGGGUCAUAUACUUGUCAAUAUAUGGCUAAGGAUGUUGGAACCAAUGAGAUGUGUGUUUCAUUUGAUGGCUUACAUCUCAUGCCCUGCCCCUUUGGAGUCAAUGUGUAUGGUGGUAAGUUAUAACUAUGUCAAUAUAUAUUAAUCUCGUCAAUACAAACAAACUAUCAUUAAUUUAAAUGCUUUAUGAUUUGGUGGUACAUUUAGUAUAGCAAGAUGAACUUGAUUUGUCCUCAUAGCAUGGUGAAUUUAGGAUGUUUGAACUUUGUUAAGUUUUAUAGAAAACUAUUAUUGUAAUUCUAAGAAAAAUGCCAAAGCCAAGGCUAUACUUGUAGAGCAUAGUGGAAUGUUGCAACUAUAAUACAAUGGAUUAUUUGAUUGCCUCACAUUCCAUUCCAUUUUAAGAUAUAUAACCGAUAUUCUUAGAUUUCUAACUAGUAAAAAUGGCAUGAUUUGAUUUGUUCAAGAAAACCAUAAGACAAUAAGGGGCCAUAAAGUUUGUGCUAGGUUCAGAUUAAGAUGGUCAACUCUUUUUAGAAUAUUUGUUUGAUCCAACAAAAUAUGAUCUAUUAGAUGGCCAAAUUAAUUUGCACUAAUUUGUGAGUGCAAUAGCAACUUUGCUAAAAAGAGAAGUAUUAAGAUUAUGGACUUAUAAGAAUGAUAUAUACAACAACGUAAUUAUGAGGCUGUCUCUAUGAAUGAAGUAAAAAAGUAAAAACAGGACCAAAGGGGGUUUAUUACUUAAAUAAAGGAGAUUAUCAAGACUAAGUAUUAUAAAUAGUAUUAUUCUUUUUCCCUUUUCCAAUUGCAUGUAAGAAGAUCCCCAUUACGUAUAGGUUAUUUGGUGAGAUAUUUUAUGUUUAUUUUUUAAAAAUUAUGAAAUAAGUGAUUUAUCAUUUUGAACAAAAUUGAUAAAAUUUACAGAUAUAGUUUUUUCAAUGAGACAAUGAGACUUUUCAGCACUUUUUCCAUGGCAGUGAUGUAUUUGUGAUUAUCAAAGUGGAGAUACCAAAAAGCUUUCUUUCUUUUUUUUUUUUUUUUUUUNNNNNNNNNNNNNNNNNNNNNNNNNNNNNNNNNNNNNNNNNNNNNNNNNNNNNNNNNNNNNNNNNNNNNNNNNNNNNNNNNNNNNNNNNNNNNNNNNNNNNNNNNNNNNNNNNNNNNNNNNNNNNNNNNNNNNNNNNNNNNNNNNNNNNNNNNNNNNNNNNNNNNNNNNNNNNNNNNNNNNNNNNNNNNNNNNNNNNNNNNNNNNNNNNNNNNNNNNNNNNNNNNNNNNNNNNNNNNNNNNNNNNNNNNNNNNNNNNNNNNNNNNNNNNNNNNNNNNNNNNNNNNNNNNNNNNNNNNNNNNNNNNNNNNNNNNNNNNNNNNNNNNNNNNNNNNNNNNNNNNNNNNNNNNNNNNNNNNNNNNNNNNNNNNNNNNNNNNNNNNNNNNNNNNNNNNNNNNNNNNNNNNNNNNNNNNNNNNNNNNNNNNNNNNNNNNNNNNNNNNNNNNNNNNNNNNNNNNNNNNNNNNNNNNNNNNNNNNNNNNNNNNNNNNNNNNNNNNNNNNNNNNNNNNNNNNNNNNNNNNNNNNNNNNNNNNNNNNNNNNNNNNNNNNNNNNNNNNNNNNNNNNNNNNNNNNNNNNNNNNNNNNNNNNNNNNNNNNNNNNNNNNNNNNNNNNNNNNNNNNNNNNNNNNNNNNNNNNNNNNNNNNNNNNNNNNNNNNNNNNNNNNNNNNNNNNNNNNNNNNNNNNNNNNNNNNNNNNNNNNNNNNNNNNNNNNNNNNNNNNNNNNNNNNNNNNNNNNNNNNNNNNNNNNNNNNNNNNNNNNNNNNNNNNNNNNNNNNNNNNNNNNNNNNNNNNNNNNNNNNNNNNNNNNNNNNNNNNNNNNNNNNNNNNNNNNNNNNNNNNNNNNNNNNNNNNNNNNNNNNNNNNNNNNNNNNNNNNNNNNNNNNNNNNNNNNNNNNNNNNNNNNNNNNNNNNNNNNNNNNNNNNNNNNNNNNNNNNNNNNNNNNNNNNNNNNNNNNNNNNNNNNNNNNNNNNNNNNNNNNNNNNNNNNNNNNNNNNNNNNNNNNNNNNNNNNNNNNNNNNNNNNNNNNNNNNNNNNNNNNNNNNNNNNNNNNNNNNNNNNNNNNNNNNNNNNNNNNNNNNNNNNNNNNNNNNNNNNNNNNNNNNNNNNNNNNNNNNNNNNNNNNNNNNNNNNNNNNNNNNNNNNNNNNNNNNNNNNNNNNNNNNNNNNNNNNNNNNNNNNNNNNNNNNNNNNNNNNNNNNNNNNNNNNNNNNNNNNNNNNNNNNNNNNNNNNNNNNNNNNNNNNNNNNNNNNNNNNNNNNNNNNNNNNNNNNNNNNNNNNNNNNNNNNNNNNNNNNNNNNNNNNNNNNNNNNNNNNNNNNNNNNNNNNNNNNNNNNNNNNNNNNNNNNNNNNNNNNNNNNNNNNNNNNNNNNNNNNNNNNNNNNNNNNNNNNNNNNNNNNNNNNNNNNNNNNNNNNNNNNNNNNNNNNNNNNNNNNNNNNNNNNNNNNNNNNNNNNNNNNNNNNNNNNNNNNNNNNNNNNNNNNNNNNNNNNNNNNNNNNNNNNNNNNNNNNNNNNNNNNNNNNNNNNNNNNNNNNNNNNNNNNNNNNNNNNNNNNNNNNNNNNNNNNNNNNNNNNNNNNNNNNNNNNNNNNNNNNNNNNNNNNNNNNNNNNNNNNNNNNNNNNNNNNNNNNNNNNNNNNNNNNNNNNNNNNNNNNNNNNNNNNNNNNNNNNNNNNNNNNNNNNNNNNNNNNNNNNNNNNNNNNNNNNNNNNNNNNNNNNNNNNNNNNNNNNNNNNNNNNNNNNNNNNNNNNNNNNNNNNNNNNNNNNNNNNNNNNNNNNNNNNNNNNNNNNNNNNNNNNNNNNNNNNNNNNNNNNNNNNNNNNNNNNNNNNNNNNNNNNNNNNNNNNNNNNNNNNNNNNNNNNNNNNNNNNNNNNNNNNNNNNNNNNNNNNNNNNNNNNNNNNNNNNNNNNNNNNNNNNNNNNNNNNNNNNNNNNNNNNNNNNNNNNNNNNNNNNNNNNNNNNNNNNNNNNNNNNNNNNNNNNNNNNNNNNNNNNNNNNNNNNNNNNNNNGUUUUAGAAGAAAUAUGAAUUCCUGGCUGCUUAAAUGAACCAUUCAUCUGUUCAUGGACUUAUUUUUCUUUUCUUAUUUAUCUUUUUGGAGAAUAGGGUGGAGAAAAUGGUGCUGUUUUGACGUUGAAAGUAAAUGAUAUGGGAAAUUAUGGUUGUUAUUCUGAUUGUACUGACAAUAUCUCAAUGCCAUUGCACGUUAAGGCUACUGUGAAUCUUAUCCGAAAAAGGCCAAUGAGUUCAUUGGCAGUUCACAGUAAGUAACAAUCAUAUAUAUAUAUAUAUAUAUAUGUAUAUCUUGCUUGUAUUUUUUAAUUUUUUUUAGCCAAAGUGCAUCUAUAUUAAGUUAUAACUCAUAUCAAUUUUCAUUAUGCUGGUGCAGCCCUUGGAUCAGUUGUUAUUAUUGAAUUUCUUAUGGUUCUCUCUUUUGGAGUAGUACUUCUAUUCUUCACAUGUAAAUGUGCAAUUCUUCUUGUAAAUGAAAGAAGCAGCUUCAAAUUCCAAAACUCUAAGCAGUCUACUCUGCGAAAUUUUCAGAAGGAAUCUGUAAGUGAACCAUAUGUAUUGAUUUUCAAGUGUAUUUGAGGCAUUUUAACGUGAACUACACUUAAGUUCCAAUGUUGGUUGAAUUAUCUUACGCAGUCAAGUGCUGAUUUAUCUGAGAAAACAACUGACUUAACUGGUGGUUGUUCUCGAUAUCUUUCUAUUUACCAUCGAACUUCCAGCUUUCGACAACGGUAACUAGCUUUUGACAAAAGAAACAUUUUGGUAAUGGGUUCAUAGCUAGGAUAGAGAAAGAAGUUUUGAGUUUUUUUUUUUUCAUUGUAUAUUUUGGCUUCACUAACAUGCGCUUUUUACAAAUGUGCAGCUCUAGCCGUCACUCUGAACUAGCAGAAUCUGGCCAGGAUAUACAUAGCCCCUCUCAAUCUACUAAAGGUCAUCAUCUACAGGCUCUACCUGAUUUUAUGCCACUUGCUAUUGAGAAGGGCUCGUAAACAAGUUGAUCUAUUGUCUAAAAUUAAACCAUUUGAUGUGGACAUUAAUGGAAUUGAGAAGGUAUUUCAUUCAAUUACAACUGUGUUUGCAUCCAAAGAUUUGCGUAUUUAGAAGAUGAUUUAAUUGGAACAUGGCUUUUUUCUUCUUUUCCAACUCUGUUAAUAAUGAUAUUCUUUUUACUGAAGGCUAAUUUUAUCUUCAAGAAAAAUUUUCAUAUAACAAAACUAGGGUUGUUCAAUUCUCAUUCUGUAACUGGUCUUGGUAAGAAUCAAAAUCGCAACUAAACCUUCAAUUUUUUGCAAUAUAAGUACGGUUUUAGUUCAGUUUCGAUUCUUAUUUUCGCUUUUUUAAAUUUCAAUUUUAGUUUAAUUUUAGCUAAAAUUUUAUUUUUACAAAUAAAAUUACAAUAAUUUUACGUUUUAUUUUAAAAUAAUAACAAAUAACAUCAAAAUAAUAAUAAAAAUAAAAAUACUAACAUUCAAACAAUAGUUUCAGUUUCAGCUCAAAUUUUAUAUUUACAAAUAAAAUUAUAAUAUUUUUACAUCUAUUUUAAAAUAAUAAAUAAAUAAAAUCAAAAUAAUAAUAAAAUUAAAGAUAUUAACAUUUAAAUAAUAGUAGUAUUAAUAUUAAAAUAUAUUAUAUACAAUAAAAAUAUUAUAUUAUUUUAUAUAUAAUUAUUAAUUAUAUAAUUUUGAUUAAAAGAUUCAUGGGUAAUUAAUAUUUAAGGAUAUGUUAUAUUACUAACAUAUAAUUCAUAUAUAUAAUUAAAAAUUAGAAAAUAAUAUUUUUAAUAAUUUAAUGACUGCCAAACACCAUUAGCAUCUACGGCUACUCAAAAGUAUUGAAUUAUGUAGCGACUCUGAUAGACUGAUUCGUCCCUCUUCAACUACUCAUCUAUCAACAGCUUAUGUGAGGAAAAUAAGUUUUGCUAAUUUAAUCCAAUCAUUUGAAAUUUAUUUUUUUCAAUUUCAUUUUGUACAACCACCAAACUAUAUUCAUUGUUUAAAAGUAAGACGCAUAAUUUACAAUACUAUUAUCGUAUUUUUCAAUAUUUCUUUUAAUCAAGCCACUCAGCAGCUCCUGUAGGACUGACCAAUUAUAAAAGAGAAAAGCUGUAAGACACCAAGUGAUAUAGCUGUAGGACCUGAAGGUCAAUCUAUAACUGCAAUGGUGGCCCUAUGAGCUAAUCUAUAGGGUACCUCGUUGUAGUCCCAAGUCCAUAUAAACUGUAGCGCAGUACUCUAAUACAAAUGGCAUGAAAUCCCCUUAUGCUGACUUUAGACUCCUACUACUAAACUUGAUGAAUAAUUUAUAUAAUAACUCUCUUAUUAAAUUGCAAAUAAAUCAUGUGUAUUAGGCACACUUAUACUUUAUCCAUAUUUGAUUUUAAAAAAUUGAGCAUUCUUUUUAUUCAUACCAAACAUUACAUUUGUUCUCUUUAAAAUCAACUUUAAAAAAAUUAUACUUAUAGAUUCUCACUAUAGGAAUAAAAUAGUCCAUAUAGCAAAUCACAUUGUUACUUGUUGGUUUUUGAGAGGAGAGGAAAAAGCUAUAUAAUGAUUUUGUUAUUUUACUCGUUAAAACAUGAUACAUAUGUAGGAAAAAUAUAACAGAAAAUCUUAACAAAAUUAUCUAUUAAAUCAUAUUUAAACUCAUAUAUAAUAACUUAAAAUUUAAAUUUUAUCCUAUUUUCAUAUCAUAAUAUAUCAUCAACUUUGACAGCAUCGACAUUGGUAUAUGUCGACAUCAAUAUUAGUAUAUCGGCAUGGGCAUUAACGUCUGCAUCAACAUUGAUAUUGUAUUUUUUGAGGAGUUCUUCAUUUUCUGACGUAGCUAUCUUGGAUUUAUUGGGGUACUAAUUUAUUGUGACAUAUGCUUAUUGUGGCAUGGAGGAACCUUUAUUGUUUUCUAACUUGAUUUUUCUUCCUAUGGUAUUUUCUGAUGUUCCAUCUCUUUCUUUUUUUUCUCUAUUUUUUCUCAUCUUGUAUUUCUCACAGGCCUUUAUAAAAUAGCACUGAUAUCAAUUGUUGAUUUUUGAGGGGAGAGAAAGAAGAAAUAUAAUGGUGUUGUUAAUAAUAACUUAAAAUUUAAAUAUUAUCAUAUCUUCGUAUCAUAACAUAUUUUUUUGAAAGUAGAAAAAGCAUAUUUCAACAUUGUCCACACCAUUUGUAAAUCAACAAAAUAAGUAUACAAAUUCAACAAUACAACAGAGUCAUAUGGAAGGUAGGUUACUGUCUCAUUUUGCAACCUACUUUUAGAUAAAUUAAGUGUUAAAUCAAUUCUUGUUAUUUUAUGAAAAAUAUUCCUUCACGUCUCAGCUUCCUAAAGAAUUAAAAAUCAUCACAUCUUGAGCUUUGUAGCUCAGGUUAUAGUUAAUUAUUCUCAAACUGUUCACAAUUAAAAAUUUCAGUCUCAGUUUUGGUUUUUUGGCACUAUAUCCUGCUUUUAGAACGUUCUCUUGAAUUUUUUAGCAUGAUUAUUCUUAAAAUCUUUAGAUCUAUUCUUAGGUUUCAUUUGGCUUUGGAAUUUCUUUAUUUGGAUAUUGUCAGUCAUGUUAUGAAUAUUUUUAUACAACCUGUCUUGUGACUCAUAUCCAGAAAUUUGACGUUUAUUUUAUAUUUGUACACACUAAAACCCAUAUAAAAUUAGAUUAAUAUCUCUUCUAUGAAUUUUUAUUUCUAUAUCUCAGAGUUCUAAUGGUUCAAGAAUAAGAUCAUUUAGAUAUUUUUACUUUAGUUAUAAUUUAAUUUAUACAAAUUGUUCAAAAUAUAUCUCAUUUGACUUUAGUUUUCAUGUUCCUUUUACAGCCCCAAUUCAUGGUAUUUCCCCAUAAAAUUUAGCCUUAGUGUUCAAGGUUAAAGACAAUUUGGCAAAAUGGCCUUUUACAAACAUUUAGGUUUAUCUCCCAAGUUUCAUAUGAGUCAAAUUUCACGUUAUUUAGACAACUCUAGCUCAAGUUAUGUCAUAUUUACUAAAAUUGGUCACAGGGUAUCAAAGUAGCAAAAAAUAUAGUUCAAUCUCUAUAAAAAAAGUAUCAUGCGAUUUCACUCAUUUUCACUUCGUAAUCUAUAGUUCAAUCUGUAUUAAAAUAAUAUUUAUAGUAUAAUACCGUUAGCAAAUAGCAUUAAUUUUUUAAUGCUAUCAAGAAUUACUAAAGUGAUAAAUAAAAUAUAAUUGUUAAUUAAAAAAGAAAAAGUAUAAAAAGAUAUCUUGUGGUUUUAUUCAUUUUUAUUUCAAAAUCUGUAAUUUAAUUUAUAUUAAAUUAGUAUAUCGAGAUAUAUAAUUUUUAUAUUAAUAUUUGUUACAGCAUCUAAAAAUUGCCUCUAUUUGCUAAUGCGGAUACUACAAAUACUAUUUUGACACAAAUUAAAUCACAAAACACUUUUUUUAUACUUUCCUCUCAUCUUAACAUAUGUUCAAUAGUGACUUUGUUUCCUUUUAAGUGAGCACAACUAUAUAAACUUGUAGCUUCCUAGUUCACCUCUUUUUUCCUACCUUUUGCUUUGGUGCUUUGGUGCUUUGGUUAUCCUCUCCCUCUAUCAAAUUCAGCAACAAAACAGUAAUUUAAACUAACUUUUAAAAAAAAUCAAAAUAUGAAAUUCAAUCAUGUCACUUUUAUUUUAUUUAAUUAGUAUAUGUCAAUUAAUUGAAAAAAUAAUGAAGAAAAAUCUAUUAAAUUUUUAUUUAUACGUAUACUAACAAUUAAAAUAAAAUUAUAUUUAAUUAAAAAAUUUAUCAUUAAUAAAAUUUUGUAAUAUAAUUAUUAUAUAAUAAAUUAUAUUAUUAAAAUAAAAUAAUAAAUAAUUUUCCCUUAAAAGUUGCAUUUGUUAUAUAGUUAUUUAUUGGGUGUAAGUAUGUCAUUAGUAUUCUCCACAGAGGAAAUUAUGUAUAUAUAGAAAGGGUUUAUAUAUUAAAAUUUUAGAUUUAUAAAUUUAUAAAAGAAAAAUAAAAGAAUAUAAGUGUUAAAAAAAAUAUAAUUAGUGGUUGAAAAAAAUAUAAAAAAUAUAAGUGUUAAAAAAAUAUUAAAAAAUAUAAUUGAAGCUAAGGAUUUUAUAAAGCAUUAAAGAAAGAAAGUUGAUAGAUAUUUGUAUUUAAGAAAUUCUUGUAUAAUUUGAUUAAUUUGCUUGAAAAAAAUAAUUAAAGAAUUUAAAGUGAUUAAAAUUAGACUAAAAAAUAAUAAAAUAUUACAUUUGAUAUAAUAUCUUAAUUCUCAUGUUUUAAUUUUUAAAAAUUAUUUAAAAUUAUUAAUAAUUUUAUCUAUAUCCACUAAAUUUUAAAAUUUAUUUCAUUUUUAUCACUAAACUUUAAUUUAUUUCAAUAAAAUUAUUUUCACUUUAAUUUUGUUUAAAAAGAAGUGAAUUUAACCUACUAUAACAGAUUCCAAGGUUACAAUAUGCAAAAAAUAAUCAUUUUCUGUAUUUUUUUUCUAAGUUUCUUCAUUUUUCCAUUCCUUUCAUAAUUCAUGUUUAGAGAAAUUAAAAUUUAAUUAUUAAUAAAAUUGAUUAUUUUGUCUAAAAUGAAAUCUUAAUUUAAUAAAUCUAAUAAUAUUUUAUUUAUUAGUUAUAUUUUAUUUUAUCCAUUUUACAAUUAUUAUUUUAGUGUUUAUUAAAUUAAUUUUGUCUUAUUUUUCUAUAAUUAAUAAAAGUUGCUGUAAAUAAAAGAUUUAAAUAUCUCAAAUAUAAAGAUAUGAAAUAUUUUUAUAUAAUGUAUAAUAAAGUAGUUUAACAAUUCUGUUAUCAUUUGGUUGGUUCGGUUUAAAAUUGAACCGAAAUAAAUAAAUUAAAAAUUAAAAUUUUAUUAUUUAUAAAAAUCAAACCGAAUUGAUUUUGAUCAGAAAUCAAAUUAAAUUGAAUCGAUUUGAUUCGGUUCGAUUUAAUCAAUUUGAAUUUUUAAUAAAUUUUUUAUUUUUACAUUUUAUUUUUAAUAUUUUAAAAUUUAAUUAAAAUAUUUUAAAUUUAAUAUGAUCUAAUAUUUAUAUUAUUGAAAAUAAUAUAUUAUUAUCACUAAUCUGUUCGAUUAAAUUUUUUUUUCCUGAUCAAAAUUGAACCGAACUGAAAUAACAAAAAAUUUUAAAAUUAAAAUCUGAACUGAAAUGAAUAAAAAAUUAAACUAAAAUUUUAAAUUAAUUUAAUUUGUUCGAUUUUUUUCGAUUUGAACCAAAUAUUGCUCUAUCCUAUUUAAAAUAUUUAAUAAUUAAUGUUGAAAAUGUAAUUAGUUAAAAAUUGAUUAAAAAUCAUUAUUCUUUUAAAAUAAAUAAUAUUUAUUUAUAUCUAAUUACCUGUGCAAUUAAAUAAUUACUUAGCAUUAUUUAUAAUAUUCAACAAUCAAUAAUGAAAAUUUUCAUUAAUUUUAUUUCUAUCAAAUAUUUAAUAAUUUAUUUUAAAAAUUAAUUAAUUUUUAUAUUUUACUAUUAUCUUACUAAAAAACCUUAAUAAACAUAUUAAUAUUUAAUCCUUCAUUAUAUGUAACAAUAAAUUUUUUAAACUCUUAUUUUAUAUAUUGAAAAUUUUUUCUUUUAUUUCUAAAUUAAAAUUUAAGUACUAUUUCAAAAAAAAAAUUAAAAUUUAAAUAAUCAUUUUAAAUAGCAAGUAUAUAACAUAAUUUAAUAGUAGAAUUUAAUAAUAAAAAUUUAUUAAAAAUAAAUAUUUUAUUAAUAAAUAAUUUUAUCAAUUAAUUAAAUAUAAUAGGUGCGGAAGAAAUAAAAUGAAUAAAGAAUUCGUAACUUGGAAACCUGCCACACUAGGUUAGGGUAAUUUUUUUUAAAUAAAAUUAAAAUUGAAUGAUUUCAUUAAAAUAAUUUAAAGUAGAUAAAAAAUUAUCUCCAAAUUAUACCUACGUAUGAAUGUCGGACUAAUUUAAUUAAAAUUUAAAUAUUUAUAUUAAAAUAUAAAAUAAUAUAAAGGUUAAAUUUUUUUAUUAACUAACCUAUAAAAAUAGAAAAAAUGAAAUUAAUAAAAGACAGAAAUAAAGGAGUAAUUUUAUUAUUUUAGUAUAUAGUAACAAAAACAACAAUAUUAAUUUUUGUUGUUCCUCCUUAAUCGGUUCUUAUCCGUUAGGCCAUUUCCAACACUGCACACUAUUUUUAUAUUAUUUUAAUAUAAAAUAUUAAAAUAAUACAAUAUCAUCUCUAAUUUUGUACAUUAUUUUUAAUAUAAAAAAAUAUUUUAUUUAUAUUCUUCACUUUCCUUAAUAUUAUAUUAUUUAUUUUAUUUUAAUUUUAUUUAUCUAUUUCACUCAAAAAUUUCAUUCAUUUUAUAUAUACAUCCCAUAUAUAUAUAUUUUAUAUUUUAAUUCAAUAUUCAAAUAUUCAAUUAUAUUAGAGAUAAAUAAAAAUAUAUUAAUUAUAAAAAGCAUUAAUUAAAUAUUAAUUAUAAAAAUAUAUUAAUUAAAUAUUAAUUAUAAACAUACAUUAAUUAAAUAUUAAAUAGCAAAAUUCAAAAUAAAAUAGAGUCAUACAUAUUAAAUUAUCAAUAAAAAAAAUACAAACUAAUUUAGAUGAUCAUUUAAAUUCGUAUAUUGCUCCAACAAAUGCUAAAUUAAUGCAUUAUAAAGUGCAAAAUGAGCAUUUUUAUUCUUAAUUUUUUUAUGUCAAGCUAAAAAUUGUUAGAAUCGAGUAGUUUUAUCGACAACCAUUUCAACGGUUGGAGCUGAAAAUUCUCUAUUGUCUUUAAUAGGUGCACUAAGGUCAUGUUCAUCAUCGAUUAUCAUAUUAUGCAUGAUAAUACAUAUAGUUAAUAUAUCAUGCAAUACUUUUUUUUUUCUAAAAACGUGAUGGCUCUACAACUAUUGCAAAACGUGACUGCAACACUCUGAAAGCACGUUCAACAUCUUUUCGACAUGAUUCUUGUUUCAUUGCAAAAUACCUAUUCUUCUUUGUUUGUGGUUCACGAAUAAUUUGCAUCAGAUUUGACCAUUUUGGAUAUAUACCAUCAGUCAAAUAAUAACUCGUAUUAUAUUCUUUUCGUUAAAUAACAUAAUGAGCAGGAGGAGCAAUACUUUUAGUAAGGCCGAAAAAUAAAUGCAAUAUCGUUAUUAGAGCCAGGCAUUCCAAAAUAUGUAUGUCAUAUCCAAAUGUCAUAAUCAGCUACAACUUCUAAAAUAAUUGUUGGUGAUCCACUACGACCUGUAUACUAGUCAGUCCAUGCAAUAGGACAAUUUUUUCAUUUCCAAUGCAUGCAAUCAAGACUACCUAACAUUCUUGGGAAGCCACGUUGGUCACCAAUAUAAAGAAGCCUAGCAACAUCCUCGGCAGUUGGUGAUCUCAGAUACUGCUCACCAAAUACCUCAACGGUAACUCGAUAAAAUCUCUUUAGAUUGUCAAUUGCAGUGGACUCUCCAAUUUUCAUAUAUUUGUAGGUAGCAUCCACCGGCAAACCAUACGCUAACAUUCGAAAUACAACUGUGAUUUUUUUUUAGAGUAGAUAAUUAAAUUUUACCUACUGCAUCUCUUUAUUGUUCGAAAUACGUAUCAUGCACUUUUAUUACAUCGACAAUACAAAGGAAUAAAUUUCGAAAUAUUCUAUAUCAUCGACGAAAUAUUACAUUAUUGAAGCGUGGAUUAUCUGAAAAAUAAUUCAGAAAUAAAUUACGAUCAGCUGCUUCAUGAUCUCAAUUAAUUACUGGAAGACUUGGAACAGAGUCACCUCUAGAAACUCAGUGUUGAUCUUGUAUUUGCUGCAAAACCAUCUUAUUUCUAAGAAAUUGUUGAUUAACUGCUUGUGCUUCCACUUCAAACUCAUUAUCAUCUGAAAUAUAAUCAUCAAUAUCUAAAGAAGAUGAUGAUGAAUUUUCAGCAUCAUUAUUUGAUGUAUCUCCAACAUAGAAAUCCAUUUUAAGUAACAAUCUGUAGAAUUUUUUUGACUCGAAUUUAAGAGGAACUAGAAAAUAUGAGUUAUGUUGAUAUCUUAGAAGAAUACAUUAUUUAAUAGGAAAAUGUGGGGAUAGAGAUGCAUACCAUUCGAAGGUGGAGAUUGAGAUGAAAUCCAUCCAACGGUCGAUUUUAAUAUGAAAUCUAUCAGGAUACUGUUGGUUUAAUUAUUGUUUAAAAUUUUAUUUGACUUUAUUGAAAAAUGUGGGGAUAGGGAUGCAUACUAUCCAAAGGUGGAGAUUGAGAUGAAAUCCAUCAAAUGGUAAAUUUUAAGAUGAAAUCUAUCAGGAUACUGUUGGUUUAAUUAUUAUUUAGGAUUCCAUCUGACUUUAUUGAAAAAUGUAGGGAUAGGGAUGCAUACUAUCCAAAGGUAGAGAUUGAAAUGAAAUCCAUCCAACGAUCGAUUUUAAGAUGAAAUCUAUCAGGAUACUAUUGGUUUAAUUAUUGUUUACAUCUGACUUUAUUGAAAAAUAUGGAGAUAGGGAUGCAUACUAUCCGAAGGUGGAGAUUGAGAUGAAAUCCAUCCAACGGUCGAUUUUAAGAUAAAAUCUACUAUGAUACUGUUGGUUUAAUUAUUGUUUAAGAUUCCAUCUGACUUUAUUGAAAAAUGUGAGGAUAGGGAUGUAUACUGUCCGAAGGUGGAGAUUGAGAUGAAAUUCAUCCAACGGUCAAUUUUAAUAUGAAAUCUAUCAGGAUACUGUUAGUUUAAUUAUUGUUUAAGAUUCCAUCUGACUUAUAUAUAUUAGAAUGCCAACAUUUACAACUUACAUAAGUUAGCCAUACCCUUUAAUAUUUAAUCACUUUGUAAACUAUGACUUCAAGAUCUGUAGAAUAUUCUACCAAUGAAGAUGUGCUAUUAUGCAUAAUUUAUCUAGAUGUUUCACAAGAUCCCAUUAUAGGUAAACAACAAUCUAGUCAACGCUUUUGGAGUCGGGUGGCGUAUGAAGUUGCAAAGAAUGAGUUUUGGGAGUCCCGCAACCCACGAUCUUUUCAAUGUCGAAUACAAGUUAUUGAGAAGGCUAAAAGAAAAUUGAACGAUUGUCAUCGACAAGUUGAAAACUUACAUCCUAAUGGUGCUUCAGAGCAAGAUCUGGUGAGUAUUUAUUUGGUUAUUACUUUGUAUAUAAAUCUUAGAAUUUUUCUUAACAUUUUUCAAAUUAUACAGCUCAAUCAAGCAAAAACUUUACUCAUGCAAGAUUCAAGCUACAAAUAGAGAUUCAAAUUUGACCAUGUUUGGAGCAUGAUGAAAGAUGCUGAGAAGUUCAAAGAUAGUAGCUCUAAAAAAAAUAGUUCCAAAUCAAAGCUCUUCUUAUGUGUUCUCAGAGUCGGACAAUCCUAUUCCUGACUCACCUAUGGUACCAUCUUCAAACUUAUCAUCAUUUUCAAUUCAUUUAAAUGAGGAUAUUACAGGAGAUUAUACAUCAUCGGAUCGACCUCUUGAGGUCAAAAAAGCAAAAUUGAAGAAAAAACUUGAUGAAUCUUUUUCAUCCGCUCUGAAAUGCUUACAUGCUGAUAAUGAAAAGCUUGUGGCAUUGUUGGCGAACGCAACUGCAGAAAGGGAGAAGGGAAGGCUAAUGAAAAGCAGAGCUUUGGACUUAAAGGAAUUUAAAAAAGAAAAUAAAAUUUUACCGCUCGAUUUAAAUUUUAUUUCUGAUCCAAUUGCUCGUGAAAUGUUUCGCUAAGAAAAAAUUUGAAUAUUAGAGAAAAGAGAUCAACGUCAACAACCACCACUGUCAUCCGCCUCAUGUGUAUGAUCAAUAUCUCAAUGAUAUUGUUGGAUCCGGGUACGACCUACCAGAAUAUUAAAUAUUUAGUGUAUUGUUGCUGAUUGUAUUUUCAAUUAAUAUAUAUUGUUCAAUUAUAAUAUAUGUGUCACUCCACUUAUACUAUAUAAUAUAUUAUAAAUAAAUUAAUUUAUUAUAAAUAAUAUUUAUAAUUGAGAAUAUAUUAAUUUAAAUUAAAUUUUUAUAAUUAUAAAAAUAUAUUAAAAAAUAAAAAUAUAAUAUAUUAUGAGAGUGAAAAAAUAAGAAUCUAAUUGAAAAGUUUUUAAUAUUUAAAUAGUAAGGAAGAACUUUUAUAAAAAAGACUAUAAAGUUUUGUACUAUAUUGUAAAUUAAUAAAAAAUUAAAAAAAAUUAAAUAGCAUUGUUAUAGUGUCAUGCCAAAUAUGGCGUGAUACUGUAGCAAAACACCAAAAUCCCGCUGGAUUUUGGUGUAUGGCCUCCAACGCUAAAAUAAAAUUUAAUGCAGCGUGGGAGAUGGUCUUAGUUUGUAGUUACUUUGCUUUUGAUUAUAUCUUGUUUGUUUGAGAUUCUCCAUAUUUUUUCACUUAGCAUGCAAAUAUUUAGGUUCGAAUCGUUAACUUUGAAAGUUGAGUUAGUGGUAUGUGACAUAUUAAGUUUUUCUGAAUUAUUAAUAAAAUUCAUAUUCUUAUAAAAAAAAUGUGGGUGCAGCCGUUGGAUCAGCUGUCAUUAUUGAAUUUCAUACAGUUCUCUCUCUUUUGCAGUAAUGCUAUUUUUCAUAUGCAAAUGUGCAAUUCUUAUUACAAAUGAAAGCAGCUGCUUUAUAUAUAUAGCUCCUCUCAAUCUAUCAAGUCAUUAAUGUGAAUUGGUGGUUUUAACCCUUAAUGGAAAUAAGUAGUUCUCUUUGAAGAGAGAGUUUUGAGUUUCCUGAGGUUUAGCCUCAUCUUUUUCGAGAGUUUUUAUCGAUUCUUUAUCUUAGUAGGAGGUUUCCAUCUAUCUCUUCGGGUGGAGAAAAUUUUCUCUCAUGCUCGAUCAUUUUCUACUUUUUAGUUUUUCUUGUUGUUUGUGUUUUGAAUAGAUUUAGAGAACUCUCCUCGUGAUCCAUGCAGUGCGUGGUGGUUCGACCGAUGUGUCCCCUCUCUCUUUAUACCUGCCUUCAUAGCUUUGCAACCGUUCCGAUGAAGGCUUAUUUCCUUGCCGUGGAGUUGAAUUUUUCUAUCUUCUUUCUUGUUUGGUUUUUGGGAUAUUUCCCUAGUAUCUCAGUAUGUUUGCAUAUCUUUUUUGGCCUAUGAUUUGCGAGCUACUCGUCAAUCUUAUUUGAAGCCAACAAUGAUGAGCUUCUCCAACAACUAUAGGCGGCGGUGCUUUGCUUCCAAUCCGGUUGGAUGGGUCAUGUAUUAUGGGUUAGAGUUCUAGGAUUUGUUCUUAUGUUGGGCUUCCGUCUAUGGCCUUAGAAUCCUAUUUUGUUAUGGUUUGUAGGCCUUAGGCUCUUCAAUCAAUGAAAUUUCUUAUUAUUGAGAAAAAAAGCCAUUAAUCUUAUGUAAAUGUAUUAUCAUUAUGCAGGACUAUUAUAAAAUAUCAUCAAGUCAUUAAUUAACUCUAGUAUUUAGGGCAAUUUAAAAGGAUACAAUAGAAAGAACAUUUAUGUUUCACCUUUUAAAAUGGAAGUCUACUCUUUCAAAGAGUGAUAUCUUAGCUUUUCCAUGUAAAACUAAGCAUAAUAUUUCCCUAUUGUGUCCUUUGAUCUAGAUUUUUAAUCGAUCUUCUCGAUUCUGUAAAAUCAUUUGACAUUAAUAAUAAUUCUCGCCAAUUUGUAUUUACAGAAUCUAGAGGAAAUAAAGUAGGUCUGGGAGGUACUUGUAGGCUUUCUAAAUCUCCUUCAAGCAUCUCUAUGACUUUGUUCAUAGCAGGAUGAUCAAAAGGUUGAAACUGUACACACUAUAAUCCUAUUAUAAUCAUUUUCCUUGCUUUUAUUUUUUCUUCCUCUGUUAUGUCUUCUAUCGGUAAAUUUCCACUAGACAGUUGGUCAUGAAGCCGAUAUGGACUAUAAACUUCACUUAAACUUUCAAUAACUUUAUUAUUUUCUUUCUUCCCUCUGUCUGCUAUUUGUAACACCAAUUGUCCAAAGCUAUACACAUCUGCUUUAUAUGAAACACCCCCCAUAUUCUUGUAGAAUAGUUCUGGAGCCAUAUAUCCUUCUGUUCCCCCUUUGACGGUAAGAGAUGCAAUGCUCCCUUUGGUUGGGUAAAAUUUUGCCAGCCCAAAGUUAGAAAUCUUUGGAAUGAAAUUUUCAUCUAGCAGAAUGUUAUCAGGUUUGAUAUCAAAAUGAAGGAUUUGCAUAUCACACCCUCGAUGUAGAUAUUCAAUACCAUAAGCCACUCCAAGA